RNA transcript from Loxodonta africana (African savanna elephant), 63715 nucleotides. It is a transcript of the gene named zinc fingers and homeoboxes 2, with no coding region annotated. The record is from RefSeq and is a predicted model, not a curated record. Lineage: Eukaryota; Metazoa; Chordata; Mammalia; Proboscidea; Elephantidae. The transcript has 6 exons.
AGGGGGCGACGAGGGUCCGGGGGUCCCCGGGCCCUGCUGCCCGCGGCCGGCUGGUCCACGCCCCAGCCUGCCUCUGCCACCCAAGCCCACGCUCGCCCCCUGCACGGCAGCUGGCGCUCCUCGUCUGCCCCACAAGAGGUUAAUCCUUGUUGGUGUUGCAGCUUCUUUGUGGCUUCCCCAGGACUUGGUAUCCUUGGCUUUGCAAACUUGCCCUUUUCCCAGCCGCUUUGCCGGAGACUGCGGAGACGAAGAUGAGCGGAAAGUUGGAAGGCGGCGAGCAUCACAGGACGGUCCCCUUGGCCUCGGUGCCGUGCGGGGCUCGGGCGGAGGAGGGGGGUUUGUCAGGCUGGGGCGAAAACUUGACGAGGAAGUCAAGUUAUGAUUUGCUCAGGCUUCCACCUGAUUGAUGGGCUUCAAAGCCUUUGGGGUCUCUGCCUUCACCUAUUUCCGAUGGUCUUUUGUUUGGGGGCGGGAGAGUGAGGAAUAAUGACUUUCACGGACCCUUCUCCUUGUAAAGAGCCGCCGCCCAACUUGGGCACCAGCCCCGGGGAUCACUAAGUCUUUCAGGCCCUAGACUUCUUACCCCACCUGAUCGCUGGUGAGCACUUUCUCUUCCCAAGUUAGCAGCAUCGAGGUCUGAGGCAGGUCUUGUCGAGCAGGAUUUGGGGGGUAGGGAUCUGUCCCCUUCACUUUUUGGGUCGCCCGACCUCCCAGAAUUGCCCUCUUAGCGGGUGUGCGCGCGCGUGCACACAUACACGCACACACAAACACACUCACUCACAGGGACGAAUUACCCAAUAAGCAAUGUAAGCAUGGGCUUACUUGUGCUUACUUACUAAUCUGUAGUGAACAAAACGUGUGAAGUUGUUCACUACGGAUUAGUAAAUAAGCACAACUAAACCCGUAUUUACCUUGCUCACUGGGAACUUCUGCCCGUCAGGGAUUGUAACUUUGAAGAGAUGCUUUGAUUCUGUAGAAGGAUGCUGUGGGGUUGAGAGGGAGACAGGUGCCAGCCAUAUCUAGAAGCAGAAUCUUUGAAGUGGUGAAAAAAUGUGAAAUUGUUCACUACAGAUCUGGUAAGGAAAAUUUCCUCCUCCUCACACACACAUUCAUUCACACACAUGCUCACACACACUCAUUCAGUCACACACACACACACACACCCCCUCACUCUUCUGUGUACAGUAGAAAUUAAUGCCCUUAGAAGUGAAGGGCUGGGGUUCUGUGAGCCCUUCAAGAUUUCAGUCAGGAGGUGAUUUUCUAUCUCUCAGGGCAGCGAGUUGGAGCAGUUCAGUCCCAGGGCAGUAAUGUCAAAAAGCAUUUGGAUAACAACCAAGUGGGAUAAAUAUCUUGUAAAAGGGGAUGUUUAAUAGUAAAAAUAGAUUAAUGGAGCCUUCAAGUGGUUGAAUGGGACUAACAUAAAGGUUUGAUUUAAGUUUGAAAGCCAAGUUAUAUAAACCCAUGUACGUGCCUUUUAAGCCAGAGGGGAAAAAUCUGAAAGUGAGAUUGAAAUGUGUCCCUGACAAUAAUUGGACCUGUGGUCUGUGGAAGUAUUGUUGUUGUCUAGACGCUCUGGUGUGCACCUGUACCUUUCCUUCUGACCAGGUUUGAUGCCAGCUAAGGAGCUACCUGGCUUUUAAUGGGAAAAUUCAGGAGACCAAUUUCAGGAUAGGUCAGAUACAUUAACUAACCCCCGUUUAAAGGAAAAAAUCAAAAUGAUGCACCUGUUUGUUAGCAAGAAAGAAAGGUAUUCCCAUGAUGUAAACACAGGGUGUCUUGACCUAGCUGAAAGGUAACCCCACCCCAAGUGUCUCAUUCCUGUCAGGGCCGUGUGAUUGGGUGGGAUACUGUCAGUUGACAAAAAGAAUAACGGUCAGGGUUGAUAAUGGUUACUAACUAUAACAGUAGGCCAGGCAUCUUACGGUAUGAUUUAUGUGCUUUAUCGUUUAAUUCUCAUCGUAAACUUACAAGUACUGUUCUUAUCUCCAGUUCCCGGUUGAGGAAAUGGAGACUCAGAGAGGUGAAGAAACUUGCCCAAAGCCACACAGUAAAAAUCAAAGUCACUGUUGGAAGCCAGGUCUGACUUCAGAGCCUUAACUGCUCUGUUACAGAAGCUUCCAAGACAUGGUCAGCUGUUGUUAGAAUGAAAAAUUAAGAGGCUGGGUGCAGGCGGGUGAAGAGGGAGCCGUAACCACAGUGCUGCCUGGUGGUCUGAACUCAUAGGAAUAUUCCUGCUUUUCACUCUUUUAUUCAUUCAUUUAGCAGCCAUGCUUUGAUUUAUUUAGUCAUUCAGCGACUGUAAUGUUCAUCAUCAUAGUAAGAGCCCACAGUCAUUAAGCACGUUUGUAUUCCAGGGACUGUUCUAAGCGUUUGUGAUUAAACUGUUUUGCCUUCACAACGACCCUGUGAGGUAAGUAGUCUUGUUAAUUGCCGUAGAGUUGGCUCCGACUCAUGGCAGCCCCGGUCCUUCGUCAUCUUCGUGAUUGUUGGUAUACUCAGAUCCAUGUUGUACCCACCGUGCAUUAUGAGUGCCUUCAGCCUAGAGGGUACUAUGUCAGACAGUGUUCUGUUGUGAUCCAUGGGGUUUUCAUUGGCUCAUUUUCAGAAGGAGAUCACCAGGCCUUUCCUUCUAGCCCAUCUUAGACUGGAAGCUCUGCUGAAAGCUGUAUACCAUAGGUGACCCUGCUGGUAUUUGAAAUAUUGGUGGCAUGCCUUCCAGCGUCAUAACAACGCGCAAACCACCACAGUAUGAGAAGUACUCCCAGCUUCUCCUUUUAGAGAUGAAGAAACAGAGGCAUAGAGAGGUUAGCUAAACACUAGUAAACCACAGUGCCACACCCCAGAAUGUGUGCUGUCAGCCAGUGCCCACCGCUGCUCCAAUUCAAAGCAAGGCAUUACAGAGAUGUGAUGAGAUAGAGGUGCCCCCCCUCAAGAACUUGAGCUGACUGGCAGGGAAACACUCAUGGGCCAAAUCAAGCAGGGUUAAGUAAGUGCUAUAAUUGAGACAAGUGCUGCUGUGAAGCACGGUGAAGGGUGUGAUUAUUCUGCUCUGAGCGAACAUGGAGAAUUCCCUGGAGGGGGUACCAUCUGAACUGACCUAUGAAUGACUACGAACAAUAUCUGGAGAGGUGUCGCAUAUCAUUGCAUUCAGCUGCUGGCAACAGAAAUCCUGACCACCAGUGACUUCACCAGAUGCGGGCUCAUUUGCAUCAGAAAACAAGAAGGGUAGGUGGGAUGUUGUCUUAGCCCUAUCAUUAGGAACCCAAGUUUUAUCUUUCAGUUCUUCCACCUUUAGCCCAGGGUUUAUCAUCUUGUGGUAGGAAGGUGGCUGCUGUGUCCCCAGGCCUCACAUCUGCAUUCCAGGAAGAAGAAAGUAGGACAAGUCAGGGACAAAAUGCUUUUACUUAGUAUGGCUUUGCAGUUGUGUUUGGGAAAGGAUACUCCUCCCAGGGACUUCAGUCCUUAACUUACCCACCAGAACGGUGUCACGUGACCACUCAGACGUGCCAGGGAGGGGCAAUCAAAUAUUUUAGCUAGGCACCAUAAACAAGUUGGGGCUCAGUUUAUAAGGUAGAAGGAAUGAAUGGAGGUAUGGUUGUUAAGUUGGCAGGUAGAGUGUUUGCCACCUAAGAUGCAAAGGUAUCCCUGAUGAAACUAAAACCGUGUCCCAGGAGCCAUAAGUAUCCUGGGAAGGUGGAGAGGGGAUGCAUGGGAGACAGAACAAAGAGAUGAUGCAACGUGGCAGAGGUUGGCUUUUAAUCCAUAGGUAUUGGGGAGCCACCACAGCAGGUUGUUGAGAGGGGAAUGUCCUGUGUUUUAGGAGGAUGAAGACUGACAGCAGGGUGCCUUGGGGAGACAAACCAGCUUGGUUAUAAUUUGAAAUAAAAUGAGUUCUGGAACAUUUCAGACCAGGGGACCAGGUUUGCCUCAGGGCAAAAAGAAGAUGCGGCCAGUGAGGAAGUGAGGGAUGCUGGGGAGAUUUUCUCUUAGGUUUUGCCAGCAAGAAUCCAACAUUAUCUAGGCUUUUGUCAGCUGUUCCUAGGAGGUGGCUGUCUUUCCUUUUGCCAUAACUGAGUUAGUGGAAUUGAAAAACCUGGAAAGGGGUGCUGCUGACUUCCUGACUUUCCACUUGCCUUUCUUUUGACCCUCAGGUCCCAGCUGCAGUGUUGCCGUUCACUAGCAGACUAACUUGAGACAGGGCCUCUCACCUUUGCUUUAAAUCGAUGGGAUGACAUCAGAGGACCUUGGAGGUCCUUCUGUCGAAUCCCUCACACUGGAUUCCUCCAGCAAAGACCACCAUCCCUGAUUCUCUUUGCUUCAUCUAUUAGCUUGGUGACUUUGGGCUAUUACCUCACUGAGCCUCAGUUUCCUCAUCUCUAAAACAGAGAUCAUUCUAAUCAGUUGCUCUCAAGGGGAUUCUGAUUCGUGUAUCAAAGUAGAGCUGUGGCUCCAUAGGGUUUUCAGUGUCUAAUUUUUCCACAGUAGAUGGCCAAGCCUUUCUUCUGAGGCACCUCUGGGUGAAUUGGAACCGCCAACCUUUUGGUUAGCAGCUGAACAUGUUAUGUUAACUGUUUGCACCACCCACGGGCUCCCAGGAGAUAUACUAGCAGUCUUAUGCAUUGUGGUGAGGCUUAAGAAAGAAAUUUAUAAUAGGGCCUAGCACAGUGCCUAACGCAUGAUUUGUGCUCAGUAAACAUUACCUGUUAAUCACCAUCACUGCCACCACCAUUGUCCUCACCACUGCCACCACCUUUAGGAUGUGACUCUAUUGUAUCCUUGAGGUACCAAGUAAUUACCAUGAGGGGAUUUUUAUCGUUGAUGCUGGGACCCUGACUGCCCCCACCUCAUUGCCAUUCUCCACAUCUCGCAUAGGCACACGUGCUCCUCACCCUCAUGCCAAGUCUGAGCACCUAUUGAAAUGGAAAGCUGUGCCGGCCUAGAUCACAGGAGACCCCGGUGCAGUGUUUUCAGGUGCUGAAAUGUGCUGCGUCAUGGUCAAGUCCAGGCAGUGCCCUGCAGAAAGGAUGCUGGGCUGCGUGUGUGCCACUUGGGUAGGCAAUAACGUGGAUGCUGUUUUUAGUAUUGACAAGGCAGUUUCAUUUUUAACUGAAAAAAAAAAAUCGCUCCUCAUUCCCCUCCUCCACUCCCCUCUAAGGCCCCACCCUAGACUGAACAGGUUGUGAUUUUAAGAACAUCCACCCACAAUCUGCUUCCUGUUCUUGUGCCUGUAGUCAUGCAUUUAAGAGAUGUUGACUGGCAGUGGUGUGUGUCUGCGUGUGUGUGUGUGUGUAUGUAUCUGUGUGUGUGUAUCUGUGUCUGUGCGUGUGUGUCUGUGUAUGUGUCUAACAGACCCCAAGUCUCCACUCAAACUUCAAAAUGAGAUAAGACCAGAGCCAGAACAGCUCUCUUGCUGACUCCUGCCUUUCCCCACUGUGGACAGUGUUUACCCGUUGAAAGUCAUGGUUCACACACCUUCUUCCUCUUCCCCGCCAGUAUUGGAAACACCUAGAAGAUUAAAUCUCAUUAUACGUUGUUCCACUGCAAUCAUAUUUAACACGUAACAGAAUCUGGAGUGAAUAAAAUGGUUUCAAUAUUGAUCCCUGAAAAAAAAAUUUUUUUUUUUUUCAUUGGCUGAUUUUCAGAAGUAGAUCAUCAGGUCUUUCUUCCCAGUCUGCCCUAGUCUGGAAGCUCUUCUGAAACCUAUCCACCAUGAAUGACCCUGCUGGUAUUUGAGACACUGGUGGCAUAGCUUCCAGCAUCGUAGUAAUACUCAAACCACCGCAGUAGGACAAACCAACAGAUGGAUGUUGGGUACCUGUUACCUGUUGAAACUCAUUGCCGUUGAGUCGAUUCAACUCGUAGCGGCCCUGUAGGACAGAGUAGAACUGCUCCAUGGGGCUUCCAGGGAGCGGCUGGUGGAUUCGAACUGCCGACCUUUGGUUAGCAGCCUGAGCUUUUAACCACUGCACCACCAGGGUUCCUUCAUGCAUGAGGGAUCGAUAUUAAGGAGUGUGACCCAGGUAUACACUUGGGGUGAGGGGUUUGUGGUCCCUUUUGCACAGGUGCACAGGCUUGUUUGGGGGUGGAAGAGUGGGACGCCCACGCUGGACUUAUCUUUCAGGGGAAACCAGCAGAGCCCUGGGAACCCUUUGCUGCCAAGUUCAGGACGAGGAGUGGAAUCCGGUCUCCCUGAGGCCUCAGAGGGCAGCCAGACUGAGGUAGCUCAUUCUUUGCAAGGGCGUUCUCCCUGUUGGAGACUCGGGCGGACUUGAUGGGAAUGGGGAGGGCUCCGACUGUUGAGAAGGGCAGGGGAUGGCUGAGGAGAGUUCCUAGGCUACAGGAUUUCUGGGCUUGCUUGGGUGCCUGCAGCUGCGAGGCUCCAAAACAUCCACAGAAAGUGAGGAGGGACCAGAAGUCUGAAUUAAGGAGGAGGCAGCAUACAUGCAUGGGCUGUGAAACAGUGGCGGUUUAAACCAGCGUUGCAGAAAGACUUAAACAUUCCACAGGGGGCUGACGUUCAAGCCCCGCACUGCGUUCUUGUCUCCUCUGACACCAGCCUUGGCCACUCUGACCCAUGAGAACGAACAUACAAAAGCUCCCUUACAUGCAGACUCACCACAAACACACGAUGUUCCCAGCCUUAAGAAGAGUGGCAGCUCUUGAAAAUUGAGCAACUGCUAUGCACUGUGUGCCAGACACGAGACAUUGGUGUUCAGGGCUAGAAUUCUUGCCUUCCACGCGGGAGACCUAGCGUCAGUUCGGGGCCUGUGCACCUCAUGCGCAGCCACCACCGAUCUAUCAGUGGAGGCUUGAGUGUUGCUACGACGCUAAGCAGUUUUCAGUAGAGCUUCCAGACUAAGAGACUAGGAAGAAAGGUCUGGCGAUUACUCCUGAAAAUCGCCAGUGAAAACUGAGUGAGUUACAAAGUGUCCGAUCUGCACCCUGUCGUGGGGAUGGCGCAGUACGGGGUUGUGUUUUGUUCCGUUGUGCGUGGAGUUGCCAUGAGUCGGCGGCAGCUAACAGCAACCGUGGCAGGCACUCGGUGAAACACGCCCUCUACAUGAUACCGUUUAUUCUGACCAUAAGGACUAAAUAGACAGCGGUGGUCUGGGCCCAUUUCAAAGAUGGAGGAACCAAAGCUCACAGAGGUUAGGUACUUGCUCAAGAUCACACAGAGAAAGUCACAGAGGUAGGAUUCAAAUGCAGGUCAAUCUGAUUCCAAAGCUUAUGCCCUCGGCCAUCACUGGGUCUUUCUGAAGUUCUGAGAGUCUCCUGGAGGCCAGCUCCACACCAGCCUAGAAGAAGGUGCAGGGGGAAGGGACUGUUUUAGAAGGUGCUUCGGGGCACAGUCAGGCAUGGUGCAGUUGUGUGUUUGUGUGUGUGUGUGUGUGUGUGUGAAUGAGAUUCAUCAAAACAGGAGAGAAUUCCAAAUCUGUGCCUGUUUUCCACAGCACACCCCUAAAAAAAAAAAAAAAAAAAAAAACCUGCAAAAAUAAAAAGACAAUUCUAAGCCUCUAUCAGUGUCUGUAACGGAAUAUUCUCCAGGAGGAAACGCCCCCUGUCCACCUUGCCCUCUCCUGCUCACUUCCUUGGGCCUGGAGAGAAAAAAUCCCAGUGGGCUGGAAGCUGCAAAAUCAGGGACCACAGAGAAUCUGGGUGCUAUUUUCUGGAUGCUGCACAACCUGGCCAGCCAAUGGGGGAGGCAGUGGAGAGAGCAGGCGCUGGGAGGGUGGAGAAUGGCCGUGUUGCUGUUUUUAUACAAUAAAAGAGGAUCAUUGUAAUUGUGGGCCCGUGAAUCAUAACACCCUGCCCAUGGCGCUCCCCAGCUGCAGAGCCAUUUAGUUAAAUAGCGCACAGAAAACUCCUUUCAGCUGAUAUUACCUUCCCGCUGUUCUUAAAAUAUGAGACAAGGCUGGAUUGCUCUAACAACAAAGCCACCUCAGGCUCCCCCAAGCCCUGGGUGUACCAGAAUCCCUGUGGGAUCUCCUUGGCCUACAGAGAAAGACGUUCAGAGAUUGUUUUCGUCUGCACCACACCCCUGUCUGUGCGAAAACAAUGUCUUUUUAUUUUUUUCACUUUUAGUUUAUUUUAUUUUUCAUUGUUGUUGAGCAUAUACACAGCAGAACAUAACCAGUCCAACGAUUUCUACAUGUACAGUUCAGAGACACUGAUUACAGUCUUCAAGUUGUGCAACCAUUUCCACCCUCCUUUUCUGAAUUGUUCCUCCCCCAUUAACAUAAAAGUCACUACCCCCUCAGUUUCCUGUCUCAUCUUUAGACUUGGUGUUGUCAGUUUGAUCCCAUAGAAAUAGAUCUUAAAAGAGCGCAAUACUCCAGGCAAACGUUCUGUACUAGUUAAGCUAAACUAUUGUUUGGUUUUAAGAAGACUUCCAAGGAUAUUUUUUGGUUUAAAGUUUAUCUCGCGGCAGUAGUUUCUGGUUCACCUAGCCUCAGUGGCUCCAGCAAGCCUGGAGUCUAUGAGAAUUUUAGAUUCUGUUCUGCAUUUUCCCCCUUUUGAUGGGGAUUCUUCUGUAGAGGAAACAGCUUCUUUAAGAUAUUUGCAUACAGCCUGGCCAGAGCUGGAUGUCAUGGCCGAGUUGAUUAUGGUGGGUGCAGGGGCAGAUUGUCCAAUAAGAAAGGUAAGCACAGUGCUUACCUUGCUUACCGGAUCAUCUGUAAUGAGCAGUUCCACAUCUCUGAUGUGGUGAAACCCAUGUGAAAUUGUUUACUACAGAUUAAGUAAGCCUGUGCUUACCUUGCUUACUGGGUCACCCGCCCCUGUCAAGGACUGUAAAUUUAAAAAGAGACUUUGAUUCUGUGCUGUGGGGCUGGGAGAGAGACAGAUGCCAGCCUUACCUAGGAGCAGAAUUUUUGGUGUGGGGAAAAAAUGUGAAAUUGUUCACUACAGAUGAUGUGGUAAGCACAGUAAGUGCUGUGCUUACCUUGACAAUUGAAUAAUCCACCCCUGGGUGAGUGCUGACCCGGAGAGGGUAGGAGAGGCCAGAAUGCCUGUGCUAGUAGGGACGGGUGCGUCUUUGCUUUCUUGGGGGGCCAGGGGGUAAUGGAGGGAUACAGACUGACAGCUAGAAGCUGGAGAAACAGAUUGUCUUCUGGCCAAGACAUGGAGGGGAAGAAUGGUGGCUCCAGGCAGGGGUGGAGAGAAGCACAGGCCCACACGUAACCUCUCCUCACAGAGAGCUCUGAGGUUUCAUUAUCCUGCAGAAUUGCCUGUUAACUUUGUUCCGGGAACUUUGUGCUACAGAAUUGGUUCUGACCAUGCAGUGAACUUCUGCCAGAGACAGGAGCUCAGGAGAGGCCGAAGGCGUCACAUUGUUUCCAAGAGCAAGGGCUCUGAGGUGCAUGGAGGCACAGAAUGGAUCACUCUGUGGGCUAAUGGAAGACAUUUGAAGGACCGAGGGCUGCGUCUGUCACGGCAGCCACACGAUUGGACAUUGCCUGGUACAGCACUUUUAGAAACGGGGUUCAUGCAUUUCCUAGUAGAAAGUAUAAGGUCAUCUGGAAACGCUGGAGAAGGAACUGGUGUGUGUGACGGGGGUGCAUCUAAUAGCGACAUGGUACGUUGGUAGGAUCAAGAAAUGUUCGAAUUCUUUAAAGAGAGGGAAAAACUCAUCAUUAACUUUAUAUGGAAAGGGAAGAGGCCCCGGAUAAGUAAAGCACUAAUGAAGAAGAGUAAAGUAGGAGGACUCACACUACCUGACCUCAGAACCCACUAUACAGCUACAAUAGUCAAAACAACCUGUUACUGGUGCAACGACAGAUACAUUGACCAAUGGAACAGAAUUGAGAACCCAUGCAGUCGUGCUCUUGACAUCUACGCCACUAGAGCUCCAUGCACGAGCUUGCUUGUGCAUAUUUGCUGGUCUGUAGUGAACAAUUUCAGCCGUUUUUCACCACAUAAAUAUGUGGUAAAAACCCAUGUGAAACUGUUCACUACAGAUUGGUGUGUAAACACAAGUAAGCCUAUGCCUACCUUGCUUAUUAAUAUAAACCAGCGUGCGCUGUGCUUACUGGUUAAUCCAUCCCUGACUGUAUGUUAUGUGAAUUUCAACUCAAUCAAAAAGUACUUUGCUGACCUAAAAAAAAAAAAAAAAGAAUUGAGAACCCAGAUGUAAAUCCAUCCACCUACGGUCACCUGAUCUUCAACAAGGCCCCAAAGUCCAUCAAAUGAGGAAAAGACAGCCUUUUUAACAAAUGAUGUUGGCAAAACUGAAUGUCCAUCUGCAAAAAAAUGAAACAGGACCUAUACUUCACACCAUACACAAAAACUAAUUCAAAAUGUGUCAGAGACCUAAAUAUAAAGCAAAAAACUAUAAAGAUCAUAAAAGAAAAAAUAGGAUCAACGCUAUAGGCCCUAAUACAUGACGUUAACAGGAUACAAGCCGUAACUAACAACACACAAACUUAAGAACAUAAACUUGAUAACUGGGAUCUUCUAAAAAUUAAGCACUUAUGCUCAUCAAAAGGCUUCACCAGAAGAGUAAAAAGAGAACGUACAGACUGGGAAAAAGUUUUUGGCUAUUACAAAUCAGACAAAGGUCUAAUCUCUGAAAUCCACAGGAAAAUUCAACACCUCUACAACAAAAAGACAAAUAAUCCAGUUAAAAAAUGGGCAAAGGAAAUGAACAGACACUGCACCAAAAAAGACAUUCAAGUGGCUAACAGAUACAUGAGAAAAUGUUCACGAUCAAUAGCCAUUAGAGAAAUGCAAAUCAAAACCACAAUGAGCUACCAUCCCACCCCAGCAUUACUGGCAAGAAUAAAAAAACAGGAAAUAGCAAAUGUUGGAGAGGCUGCUGGGAGAUUGGAACUCUUAUGCACUGCUGGUGGGAAUGCAAAAUGAUACACCCAUUCUGGAAAAUGAUAUGGUGCUUCCUUAGAAAGCUAGAAAUAGAAAUACCAUAUGAUCCAGCAAUCCCACUCCUAGGAAUAUAUCCUAGAGAAAUAAGAGUCCUCACGUGAAUAGACGUGUGCAUACCCAUGUUCAUUGCAGCAUCGUUCAUAGUAGCAAACAGAUGGAAACAACCUAGAUGCCCAUCAACUGAUGAAUGGAUAAACAAACUAUGGUACAUACACACAAUGGAGUACUACGCAAUGAUAAAGAACGGUGAUGAAUCUGCAAAGCAUCUCGCAACAUGGAUGAAUCUGGAGGGCAUUAUGGUGAGUGAAACAAGUCAAUCAUAAAAGGACAAAUAUUAUUUGAGACCCCUACUAUAAAAACUCGUGAAAAGGUGUACACACAAAAAGAAACAAUGUUUGAUAGUUAUGAGGGAGGGGGAGGGCGGGGAUGGAAAAACACUAAUAGACAAUAGUUAAGUGGUAACUUUGGUGAAGGGUAAGACAGUACACAAUACCGGGGAAGCCAGCACAAUUUGUCCAAGGCAAGGUUGUGGAAGCUCCACAGACACAUCCAAACCCCCUGAGGGACGAAAUUGCUGGGCUGAGGGCUUUGGGGACCAUGGUCUGGAGGAACAUCUAGCUCAACUGGCAUAAUAUACAUAGCUUUUAAAGAAAAUAUUCUACAUUCUACUUUGGUGAGUAGCAUCUGGGAUCUUAAAAGCCUGUGAGCGACCAUCUAAGAUACUCCACUGGUCUCAUACCUUCAGGAGCAAGGGAGAAUGAGGAAAACUAAAGAUACAAGGGAAAGAUUAGGCCAAAGGACUAAUGAACCACAACUACCAUGGCCUCUACCAGUCUGAGUCCAGACUGUGCCCGGCUACCACCACUGACUGCUCUGACAGGAAUCACAAUGGAGGGUCCUGGACAGAGCUGGAGAAAAAUGUAGAACAAAAUUCUAACCCACAAAAAAGGGCCGGACUUACUGGCCUGACAGAGACUGGAGAAACCCUGAGAGAAUGGUCCCCCGGACGCCCUUUUAGCUCAGUAAUGAAGUCACUCCUGACGUUCACCCUUCAACCAAAGAUUAGACGGGCCCAUAAAACAAAACAAGACUAAAUGGGCACACCAGCGCAACGGCAAGGACUGCAAAGUGGGAAGGGACAGGAAAGCUGGUAAUAGGGAACCCAAGGUUGAAAAGGGAGAGUGUUGACAUGUCGUGGGGUUGUUAACCAAUGUCAUAAAACAAUAUGUGUACUAACUGUUUAAUGAGAAGCUAGUUUGUUCAGUAAACCUUCACCUAAACUAUAAUUUAAAAAAAUGUAACUCUGGAAAAAAAGAAACGUUUAAGCUGAGAGAAACGUUAUCUGGUCCACCUUGGGGCAUCUGAGGCCUAGGAAGCUAAGAGGAUUUGCCUAAGGUUAUGUGGCCAUUCAGAAGUGUGUUAUUUUUCCUAUUGUAUAUGGGGUCCCUGGGUGGCUGCUACCUGAAAGGUUGGUGGUUCAGAUCUACCCAGAGGCACCUCAGAAGAAAGGCCUGGCGAUCUUCCAAAAGGUCACAGCCAUUGAAAACCCUGUGGAGCACAGUUCUACUCUGAAACACGUGGGUUCACCAUGAGUAGGAAUCCACUCAGCAGCAGCUGGUUUGGCUGUAGUCUAGGUGAAAACCCUUCUUUUUCUGUAGGCCUUCCCUGACCAGCCGGCCCCCAUUACCCUCCCUACCCCUCACUGAGCCCCUGCCUGCCAGAGGAAGAAAACAUGGUCCCUGCUCUCAGGGAGUUCGUAUGUAUUUGCCACUUAACAACUGCAACCAUUGGCAUAGGUAGCCCUAGCUGACAUGGGCACCAUUCUCAGUGCUUUAUAGUGUUAUGACAGUCCUGAGAGGUGUAGGGACUAUGUUAUCCCCAUUUAAUGGACAAGGGAGCAUACAGCAGGGAGGUCCCCUGGUCAAGGUUUCUGGAAGCCAGGCAGUCUUAUGCCACACCUGGUACACGUAAGGCUUGGAUACCUACCCUGCAUGUACCUGGGGCUCCAGGAGGAGGACUGUGGCUCCUUCCACUGAUACUCCAAGCUGGUGGCUGAGCCUCCUGCCAGCACUGAGAAUCACAGCAAAGGAAGACAUAGAGCCCCACUGAGUAGAUAGGGUGAAGAGCAGAGCCACACCUUGAACACAGGUAUUUGGAAUCCAAGACUCGAACACUUUUACCCACAUCAGUUAUGGUGUCUGCCGUGGCCGCUGCAGCCAGAAGUAGCUGAUUGGGUGUCUUGUGUAGGAUGGGCAGGUUACUUAGGGAUGCAGAAUUACAGGUGACUGCCCAGUUUAGAUUCCCCAAAGUUCUCCUAAAAGUAAAAGACCUUUGAGGCAGUUCAGGCAGUUUUUAAUUGAGCAACAGAUACAUACUUGGGCGUAAUAAUAAUUAUCAACUGUGACGUAUAGAGGAGACACAGUGGUUAGGAGCUACGGCUGCUAACCAAAAGGUCGGCAGUUCAAAUCCCCCAGCUGCUCCUUGGAAACCCUAUGGGGCAGUUCUCCCCCACCCAAUAGGGUCACUGUGAGUCGGAAUCGACUCAAUGGCAAUGGGUUUUCGUUUAUGAUGUAUAGGUCACUUACUUUGUGUCAGGCACCGUGCAACUCCGUGACAUACAUACUGUCGCUGCCCAUUGUUUGAAAUAGCUUUAUUCAGAUAUAAUUUACAUACCCUGAAACUCACCCAUUUGUAGUGUGUAAUUCUUUGAUUUUAGUAUGUUUACAGAGUUGGGCAACCAUCACCACAAUCUAAUUUUAGAACAUUUCCAUCACCCCAAAAGAAACCCUGUACCCAUUAGCAGUCAGUGUCCAUCCUUUCAGCCUCUGCCCCCUCCUCCAGCCGUAGUCAGCCACUAAUCUACUUUCUGUCUCUAUGGAUUUGCCUUUUCUGAACAUUUCAAAUAGAUGGAAUCAUACAAUAUGUGGUCUUUUUGUGUCUGGCUUCUUCACUUAGCAUAAUGUUUUUCAUGUCAUCCGCAUUGUAGCGUGCAUCAGUGCUUCAUUCCUGUUUGUUGCCAAGUAGUAUUCCACUGUAUGGCUAAUGCCACGUUUUGUUUAUCCACUCACCAACUGAUGCCCUUGGGUUGUUCCCACUUUUUUGGGUGUUAUGAAUAAUGAUGCCGUGAACAUCUGUGCACAAGUCUUUCUGUAACCGUGGGUUUUCAUUCUCUCGGGUAGAUACCUAGGAGUAAAAUUGCUGGGUCUUAUGGUAUGGAGUCCUGGUGGCACAGUGGUUAAGAGUUCGGCUGCUAACCAAAAGGUCGGCAGUUUGAAUCCACCAGGCGCUCCUUGGAAACCCUCUGGGGCAGUUCUACUCUGCCCUAUAGGGUUGCUAUGAGUAAGAAUUGACUCGACAACAGUGGGUUUUGUCUUUAUGGUAACUCUGUGUUUAACUUUUUAAGAAACUGCCAAACUGGUUUCCUAAGUGGCUACACCAUUUUACAUUCCCACUGGCAAGGUAUCAGGUUUGCAGUUUCUUCACAGCCUCGUUAACACUUGGUAUCAUGGUGGAUCGACCAGUAAGCCAGGUAUGCGUGGACUUAAUCGUAUUUACUAACCAAUCUAUAGUGCACAAUUUCACGUGGGUUUCAUCACAUCUUUAGUGAAAAACAAGUGAAAUUGUGCACUACAGAUUAGUAAGUAAGCACAAGUAAACCUUUCUUACCUCGUUUAUUGGGUAAUCCACCCCUGCUUGCUAUUGUCAUUAGCCCUAUUUUACAGAUAAGGAAAUUGAGGCACAGGAAGGGCAUGAUACCAGGCACUUCAUAGACAAGAGGAAAAAUAACAUGCUACUGAUUAGCUGUGUAACCUCAGGCAAACCCCCUUACCUCCCUGGGCCUGUUUCCCCAAGCUGGACCAGAUGAUCCCCAAAGUAUGUGUGCUGGCACCAUGAUUAGACCCCAGGAGAACAGAGGAGCAGAAUUCACACCCAGAUCUGUCUGACCAAUUCACUACCCAGAACCAGGACUAGGGUGAGGUAAGGGAGGCACCCAGUAAGUAAAAGUUAAGGAGGCGCUCACCCUCAAGCUUGAGGGCCGCCGCCUGAGCAGGAAAGCCUUCUUAAAUGUUUGCCCUGGGUGCCCCACUUGCCUUUUCCUCGUCUUGGCACCACCCAGCUCCUGUGUUGAAAGUACUGCGCUCAGUGUUGGGAGGGACACAAAGAUGACCAUGCCACUGCCCCGUCCCUCCCGGAGCUCUCGGUUCCACUGCAGAACCGUGCGUUGACACCCCACACAGCCACCUUGAUGGGCCUGCAGAGGCUGAAUCGCUGCUCCAAAGGUUGAUGGGAAAAAUUACAGCAUCACAGGGGUAAUGCCUGUAAAGUACUUAGCAAGUGCUUGGCGUCUGGUCAGUGCCCUAGAAUGCUAGCUGGUGUGGUAGUUGCUGUCACUAACAUACCUCUGACCUCACAUGCUGUGAGGCUGCAGAGGGCCUCACAGCAGUUUGGGGGACAUCCUUAUGCCUUGGCUGUGUGACUGGGAACUCCCACUCCCACUGCGCAGAAGGAAAAGGUCUGGGAUGAAGGGAAGCUGGACAUGCAGGCCCCCUCAGGCCUGCUGACCAUGUCCCGGGAGUCAUGGAUCCCAUCCGCAGAGCCCAGUACGGGCUCUGCUGUUGUCGUCAGGUGCCGUAGAGUCAGUUCUGACCCACAGCAACCCUGUGUACAACAGAGUGAAAUGCCACGUGAUCCUGCACCAUCCUCACAAUCAUUGCUCUGUUUGAGCCUACUGUUGCAGCCACUGUGUCAGUCCAUCUCAUCGGGGGUCUUCCUCUUUUUCACUGACCCUAUACCAAGCAUGAUGUCCCUCUCCAGGGACUGGUCCCUCCUGAUGACAUGUCCUGAGUAAGUGAGACAAGAUCUUGCCUAUCCUUGCUUCCAAGAAGCACCCUGGCUAUACUUCUUCCAAAGACUUCCAAACCCGCUGUAGCUCACAGAUUUCCACUGCCAGGCUGUGGACGGUCCAUGGCUGCUCUGUUAUCUCCAAAGCCAGCGUGAGUUUCUGUGCUCCCAGCUGUGAGAAAAUCCCUGAUGCAUGAUAUGCUUGGGGUCAAAGGCCAGCCAGGGAAGGGUGACCUGGGGUCCUUUCUGCUGCGUGGACAAUCUCCUGGUUUUCCCCAGCCAGGAGAAAGGACACUGUCAGUGACCUUGAGCAUAACCAGCUUGCUGGUUAUGCAGUGCUCAGGGGUGUGGGGCACUACCUGAUUCCUGGUAGGAGAAUUAGGGAAUCAGCUCUGAGAUUUCUGGAUGAAGAACAGAUGUAAUCACUUACAGAAAUGACAGGAGCCUUCUAGACUGGUUUGGUCAAAGGCCACGUGGAUUCUGCGCGUGGGUUGAACUUACCCACUUCUCUUAAUAAGCCUAGCCCAGGGGGCCCUGCCUCGGCGGAAGGCAGCUUGCUGGCAGCAUCAUAGGACCAAAGGUGCUCAUACCCCCCUAGCUGCUGCCAAUCCCCUCCCCCCCGCCCCCUGUACACAGAGUGCCUGGCACUCACCUGCUGGCAUGCCGGGAGCAGCAGCUGUCUCUGCUGCAAGGCCACCAUGGGUCUCAGAAGCCUGCGUCUUGGACUGUCUACCCAUAGCUUCAUGUGUAUGUGCUGGAGCCGUGACUGGACCCUGAGCUUGUUGAGCGCUGGGGCUUUACACUUUGAUUCUCACUUCCCCACCCCCUGCCACCUGAGCACCAGCCUUGGCUAAGGGUUGCUCAAUACAUAGUUGUUGAGGUGACAAACAGAACUGAAUCAAAGAGAAGCUGUGCAUGUGCCGUGUGUGUUGAAAUAGGAGGGGAAAGUCAUGCAGGGCCUAACUGCCCAAAAGUGAACAGAACUCUUCCGGAGUGGAUCUGAUCUCUUCCAUCUACUUUUUCAAUAAGAGGGAAGGAGGAAGUCUGAGUGGAAGGAAGCCAUGUUGUGUGGUCGGUCGCCAUUCUCUCCCUGCCUGGAAUCCACUGACAUGUGGUUCUAGAACACCAAACCUGAUCGUGUUUCACUCACCUCCUGAAGACCUUUUGUGAUCACGGGCGGCCCAGGGUCAUGAACCCAAAUGCUUUCAGGGACCUUGCAGGUAGCACAGAAGAGUGAAGUGGGCCAGGUAGAGGUCAGCACAAAAAGGCAGGCACUGGGUCAGAGUAAAAGGCAUAGGUCCAGUCUAAAGGCAUUCAAACAAAAAACAAACUAUUUUGGUUGGACUUCCAGUCCACUCUGCAGACUUCUGACCUACAGGAUUAAGUCCAAAUUCCUAGCCUGGUGUGGCAGUUCCUUGAGGGCUGGCCUCUACCUACCAGGCAUAUUUUGCUGGAAUCACUUCCGCCUCUGCCAUGUACGCCACACCAGUUGAACAGGACUGUCCCCUGAACCCCACAUGUACCAUCCAUCCUCUCUUCUCUCUCAUUCAUGUGCAGUUUGAAUCCACCAGGCACUUCUUGGAAACCCUAUGGGGCAGUUCCAGUCUGUCCUAUAGAGUCGCAAUGAGUCAGAAUUGACUCAAUGGCAAUGGGGCAAUAUGGGCAGGACAGAGUGGAAUUGCCCCACAGGGUUCCUAGGAGCACCUGGUAAAUUCGAACUGCCAACCCUUUGGUUAGCAGCGGGAGCUCUUAACCACUACACCACUAGGGCUUCUCUCCCAGGUUAGUACUUCCAAAAUGGAAUGAGUUGCUGCUCACUACUGCCCCUGGUGGCAGGUCCUUGCCACCGCUGGAAAGAACUGGUCUCUGGACAAUUUCAUAACAGGAAGCAGUUAAGUCAGCUUCUGUCCCAGGCAGGCAGUGUCACAGGUUCAGGGCCUCUUGGCCAACUUCUGACAACCUGUCCGCCUCCCUGGCUCAGCCCCAAUGCCUGGUCUGGAGAUCAGGCCUCUGUGUGCAACCUGGAUCCACUUCAUGCUAUUGUCUUGGUUUUACUUCUUGUGUCUUCUCUGGAAAACCUUCUCCAUCUUCCUGUGCCAGUGGCCUUGUGGCCCGUAGAGCAAUAUCCCAGGGAAUCUUUCUACUGCUUCCAGUAUUAAGCUUUCUUUGUCAGAGUUUGAACAUAAGAACAAAUUCUACUUUAAGGUGGCAUGGAGGAAGAAACAAACUUAUUGAAUGCCUUGUAUAUGCCAUCCAUUGAACCAAGUUUAUGUUAUAUAUGGUACCUUGUCUUCUUUAUUUCUCCCAACAACCCCACUUAAUAGAAACUUUUAUGCCCAUUUGACACAUGAGCAAAUCGAGGUCCCAGGAAGUUAAUUUGCCCGAGUUACACGGUAUAUUGCAAAACUGGGAUUUAAAGCCUGGUCUCAGCCCAUGUGUUUGCCAUACCAUGUUGCUAGACCAUUAGGUAAAGAGUAUGAAGAUUUUGUGUUAAGUGGCUUUUUUUUUUUUUAAUGAAGAUUUUGUGUUAAGUGGCUUAGCAACUUAGAUACAGAUACACUGGCCCUGUCUACCCUUCCAGAGUUUCAGAUUUUGUUUGUGAAAGACCACACGAGUAGAAUUAGUAACAGGGGCAUCUUUUUCCAUUCCAUUAGAAGGUGCUUCUUGGCACAAAUGCACUUCUCAUCCUCAAGAUACUUGUCUUCUUGCAGUUUUAUCACCAAUUUUUUCCUCUGGGGAAGGAAAAAAAUAAAAACCAACCUGUCAACAGGGAGGCGGCCAGGUUCACUAAAUUUAAAUAACUUUACUGGGCUCUUUUGUGUAACAGGAAAAAUGGCCUUAUUGGGAUUUCAAUAUAGUAGAGUGCGUGUGUGUUUAAGUAAUAGAGAAUAAAUGACCAUUCUAUGACAAAGGUGCGUGAAAUCUCUAGGACAGGUACUGGAUGAUGAUAUAUGAGUAGUCAGGUGUCUCAGGAUGGGUUCUUUAGAAAAGCAAAACCAGUGAAGUGUACAUAUAUAUACAGGGAGAAAGAGAGAGAUUUUUAUCAAGGAAAUGGCUUAUGCGAUUGUAGAGGUUGGAAGUCCCGGGUCCAUGGGUCAGGCGUCAGGCUGGAGGUUUCUUCUGACUCACGGAGCUCCAAGGGCUGAUAAACCCAAGAUCGACAGAUAAGACAGCAGGCUACUGGCUCAUGGGCUGCAGAGGCUGACAAAUCCACAGUCAGCAGGUAACUUGGCAGGCAGCUGCUCAAGUCCCAAGAGCCAAAGGUCAGGUGAUGAUGAGAGAGAUGCAGGAUCCAGAGCGAGCAAAAACCAGUGAGUUUGCCACAAUGUCCGUAUAUAAUGGAUGAAGGCUACACCUCCAAGAAAACUUCCCUUACAACUGAUUGGCUGAUCACAUCAGAUCACAUCAUGGAGAUGAUUACAUUAUAUCACAAAAUGGAGGAUAACUACAUUAUUACAUAACUGCCAAACUACAUCAGUACAUAACUGCCAAACCACUGAGAAUCAUGGUCCUGCCAAAUUGACACACAACCUUAACCUCAGGUUAGGCUAGGAUAUGAUGCAGUGACAAGUAAACCCCAAUAUCCUAACAUAAACAAAGCAAGGUUUAUUUCUUACUCUCAUAAGAGUCCACUGAAGGGUAACAGCUCUCCAAGAUAGCUUUACUCCAAGCUGUGACUAAGGGAUCCAGGCUGCCUGAAUUUUGUAGCUAUAUGAUCUGAAACCAUUGGCUUUCAGGUUGCUGGGGCAGAGGAAAGGAAAUUAAAGGGACACAUACACACACUUUAAAUGUGUCGCUUCAUCUCCCAGCCCGUUGGUCAGAACCAGCCAUAUGGCUCUGCCUCACUGCAAGGGGCCUGGGAAACAUGGGGGAGCACAUGAGAGUUUGGUGGAUAGUACAUGUUUCUGCCCAGCUGAGCCCUGGACUCAUCCCUACUUCUCUUGGCUUUGCUUUUCUUCUCUGUUCAGUGAAGUAACCAGCUCCAACAUGCUCUUGCUCUUCCAGAAUGAGGACAUGGCCCUUGAAGCAGGAAUAAGAGCCAGAAAAAGUAUCAGUGGCCAGACCUGAAUGGAAGCUUCUUGACACUUAACCUAGAGCUGGUCAGUACACACUUACUGAGCUCCUUGUCUGGAUGUCCCACCCUAGACCCCAUGAGAGAUAUGAGGACGAAUUAAAUAUGUCAUUCCAGAGUUCACCACUCAUAUCUGUUGGGCUGACCACUGACUGGCCGUGGUACCUGUGGUGAUGGCUCAUACAAACCCUACCUGUCCUCAGGGGUGUCCCUAUGCUUUGAGUUGGUUUGGAGCGGUGGGGUUGGUGUGCAUCUAUUCAGCUUCCCGCAUUGGUCUUUUUGUGGACGGAGGAGGUUUUUGCAAGAUAACUUGCUGGGUUAGGGAGCCGCCCUGCUGAUCUGCUAAGAGAGGGACUCCAGGCCUUUGGUCCCAUUACUGCCAUGGCCUUGUCAGCUGAGCAAACCAGAUCCAAUGUCACCAAGCUGUUCACCCUUCCCCUGAGCUACAACUCUUUCCCUGUGCUGGUGCCCCAACUCACCUCCACCCUGUGCUCCUUUCUGAGGCACAGGAGAAGGCAGCAGGGUUUGAGACCAGAUCUUAAUCACGUGUUACUCUGGUCAGAUCUUCUGCUCCUGGUUUGUGGGCCACCAAGCCUCUUACUCAGUUCUUAUGGGACCUGAGAGGCAGAAAGGGUAGAGGCUUGAAUUCUAAUUCCAACCAUGUGUUCCAUCAGCUGCACGACCUUGGGGAAGUCACUUAACCUCUGUGAGCUUUAGUUUCUUUAUCUAUACAAUGAGAUGGUUGGACUGACUAAGCCAGUUCCCUCCCCCACCCCCACAAAACUGCAGAUCUCGAACCAUUGUAGGUUGUAAAAUCAUUUUAGUGUGUCAAACCAGUGUUGUUUAAUGUACAGAAUAGAAUGGAACAUAACAGAACAUAUCAGAGCGCAGAUGAAGCAGUCAGGAUAAGACUGUUCUUCAGGAAACUUUCAGUUGUGUUUGUGUAUGUGUGCAUAUUAGAUUGUGAUAUACAAUGUAUUUCUCACCGGAAGUUAUAUUUUUUAAAAAGUUUGAAGAACGUUAGACUAGACUAGGGAUUAACAGACUUUCUCUGUAAAGGGUUGUUGUUGUUAGGUGCCGUCAAGUUGACUUUCAACUCAUAGUGACCUCAUGGGACAUAAUAGAAUGUCCGGCAGGGUUUUCUAGGCUGUAAUCUUUACGCGAGCAGGUUGCUUGAUCUUUUCUUCUGUGGAGCCACUGGGUUUGAACCUUUUGGUUAGUAGCUGAGUGGUUAACUGUUGUAGAGGGCUAGAUAGUAGAUAUUUUAGGCUCUGCAGGCCAUACAGCCUCUGUCACAACUAAGAAUUACUCUGCCAUUGUAGCACAAGAGCAGCUGUAGACAAUAUGUAAGUGAAUGUGCAUGGCUGUGUUCCAAUAAAACUUUAUUUACAAAAGCAGGUAGCAGAUCAGAUUUAGCCCAUAGGCCAUCAUUUGCCAAACUCUGGACUAAACCAUCUUAUCCCAGGGAGAGGGGAAGCCGUCGACAUGUGUAAUGUAAGAAAGGAUAUUGAAUAUGUUUUCCUAGAAAACUAACUACAGAAAAUAAAACAACAAAAUCUUCAUAUCUGGUGGGGAAACACCAAGAAUAGACAGAGGAAGCAGGGGUGGGGUGGGGAGGGAAGUGAUUGACUCAGUUUUAAAAGCUUUGUAUCAAAUCAGAGGUGGAAAACGUGUGGCCUAGGACAAGAAGGAGAUCCAAGGAUGUGGAUUUUUUUUUUUUUUUUUUUUUUGGUCUAGGCUUACACAGUAUUGUUGCUGUUUUUAAUCAAGACUACACUUAAAAAUCGGAAGAUUUCAUAUAAAAUAUGGAUCUCAAGAGCGUCUAGAAAAUUUAAGAUCCGGCAGGCUUUUUAACGCGUUUGUGUGUGGCAGCUGUUAGCUGGGUUGGCAGCAGCCACAGGUCUGCAAGUCCCUGUUCCCACAGUCCCAGCCACUUUCUGUGCUUCCUCAGUCUGCCCCAUUCCCUCCUUCUACUGCCUGCCCUGACUCUAUUGGUAUUUGGGUUUUUAAUUCUGGACUGUUUGACUGUUACAUCCCUUCAAGUUCCCAGAUCCUACAAUUUGGUAUCAUUUCCUACCUGCCAUGUGAUCUCACAAAGUUAUGCAUCUGCCCUGAACCUCAGUGCCCUCGCUUGUAAAAUGGGACCCCUUUUACUCAUAUGAAAGGAACAUUUUGAAGAUUAAGUAGAAUGGCACAUAAAAACAGCUUUUAAAACACAAAGCCCUUUACAAAUGUAAAAGAAAUAACAAGAGCCAAACUGGGCUCCACAUUUAAGGUUUUAAUUGAGUUUAUGGUAAAAUGUUUAUUUUUAAAGUAAAAAGAAGAUGGUAUUGGAGAGAGGCCACCACCUGUCCAUCAGUUUGUUGUACUGUGGCUGCUUGCAUGUUGCUGUGAUGCUGGAAGCUAUGUCAUGGGUAAUUCAAAUACCAGCAGGGUCAUCCAUGGUGGAUUGGUUUCAGUGGAGCUUUCCAGACAGAGACUAGGAAGAAAGGCCUGGUGAUAUACUUCCCAAAAUCAGCCAGUGGAGACCUUAUGGAUCAAAACAGAACACUGUCCGAGAAAGUGCUGGAAGGCCAGCCCCCUAGGUUGGCAGAUACCCAAAAUACACAACAGCUACAACAAUGGACUCAAACAUGCCAGAGACUAUGGGGGUGGUGCGGAACCCGACAGCAUUUCGUUGUGUUGUACAUGGUGUCUCUAUGAGUCAGAGUCAACUCGAUGUCAGCUAAUAACAGACAACAAUUAAGAGAGCAGACCCAACAGAAAUGCCACCCAGCUGGCCUGGGAAGGACCUCCCCUUCAGAUUCAGAGUAAUUCAGCUGUAUCCAGACCUCCCACCAGCAAACAUACACUGUCUUACCCUCUGAAAUGUCCUCAGUCAAGAUUCGGAAGAUUUUGAAAAAGAGCUGACAAUUAUUUUCUCUAGAGACCUAUAAGCUGCUUUUGGGUGGAAAUUAGCCAACCAGCCAUGCUCGCUUUCCUUAACCCACGCACUCGGCAACAUCCUGGAAAAGUUGAUCAGCAACUCAACCCUGGAAGCUGGGGUCUUUAAUCUGGGUUUCAGGGAACCCAGAACACUCCCUUUGGCUCUGAAAUGACCAGUGAUCUUUGAUGGCCUCAUUGUUCCCCCAAUUAUGAAGUGGGCUAGAAACAUGUAAGAGCUGUAGGAAAUUUAGAAACAAAUGCUGAACAUUCAAGAAGAAAGGCUGAGUGCAUUGACCAGCAACGGUCAAUGCAAUGGGCCGAAUCUUCUAUCUGGAUUGAGUCGGGAGACCCAAGGCUGUGGCUUCUCCCAUCUGCACAUGGUGGGACCACCCAUGCGAGCCUUUACCUCAUUUGCAGAGAUGAAAUGAAUAGGAGGGAAAGGGGGCUUUGAACGCUUGGCAGGAAAAAGGCAUCUUAGCACACAGGUCUGUAGUUAAAUUUUUUGGCUCUAAGUACAGCCCUCAAUUGUCCCUCCUAAUGUUAUGCAGAGGGGCGGUCCUGAUGAUCUGAAAGUCCACCCAACACUUAAAAACAAUCCACAGCGUAUUUACCUUUCUUACAUCUUGUAGAAUACCAUUACAGUUUGGUUUUGCAUUGAGCAUCCAGUCUGGCAUAAAGAAAAUUAGCAUUUAACAAGCCCCUAGUUAUUGCCAGGCGCUAAUGAUGUGUGAGCACAACAAUAGUAACGCUAAUGGCUAACAGAGCGAGCAGCCGAUUCUCAGCACCACACAGGCAUUAACUUCCUUUGCCUGCUGCCUACCAGGUUGUUACCAUUACUUUCCAGAAAAAAAAAAACAAAAAACAGUUACCGUCAAGUAGAUUCUGACUCAUGGGAACCGUAUGUGUGUUAGAGUAGAACUGUGCUCCAUAGGGUUUUCAAUGGCUGAUUUUUGGAAGUUGAUUGCGAGGCCUUUCUUCUGUGGCACCUCUGGGUGAAUUCGAACCCCCAACAUUUCAGUUAGCAGCCAAGCGCAUUAACCAUUUGCACUACCCAAGGACUCCAUCAGGUCCAGCUGAUUCUUAAACCAGUGCUCUCUGCGAGGUUGGCAGUAUGUGGAGGGAUGCAGAAAUGGUCAGGGGUUACCUGCCAGUUCUAGUUGAAAGCUUUUUGUGUAUUCAACUCGGCCUGUACAUUCCGUGUGCUUUAGAAGUGUUACGGAUGCUGGACAUUUUAUUUAUUCGUACAAGAAAUACUCGAAUACCUACUGUGUGUCAGACACUGUGUUAAAAACCAGGGAUACUACAGUGGUGAGUGAGAUACUACCCUCAGUCUGGACUUGUUUAUUUCUUCAUGGACGUUUCUAGAUAUUUUUAAAAUAUCCUUGAAAGGUAACUUAAGAAGAACCUCAAUCCCAACACCUAGCCCAGGGAUGUCAUGUGUUUGAGUUUGGCUCUGGAAACACUGCGUGUGGCAGAUGGACUCUGCUCAGAAAGUAAAGACCCUCCUUAACCGACAGAUCCUGUGAUUCCCCAGCCGAGCGUUUGUUGGUUACCAACUUUGCUCUUUCCUGUGGUGAAUGGUCAGUCAAUGAAUGUUAAAGCCAAUGUCUGAGAUCAUCUAGUCCAACCCCUUGGGCUUUACAGGAGAGGAAACUGAGGUUCCCUCUGCUACUUUAAGAUGUUCCCAUUUUAAUGCUAAAUCCAGAAUAAGUGAUAUCAAUGAUAGAAACAGUACUAUUCCCUCCCCUAGACUUACAAUAAAGAGACAAAAAAACAAAACAAACUCAUUGCCAUCAAGUCGUUCCAACUCAUAGCCACCCUAUAGGAUAGAGUAGAACUACCCCAUAGGGUUUCCAGGGAGUGGCUGGUGAAUUUGAACUGCUGACCUUUCGGUUAGCACCCAGGCUCUUAACCACUGAGCCACCAGAGCUGCAUUAAAGAAUCGAGGAUAUAAUAUUUUACCACUCAUAAUCCUUUACACCUUUGACAGUAUGUCUUUUCAUUUGACUCUGGUGGCUUUGUCGUUAUUUUGCUUGUUUCUUAGUAUUGGAAUUUUGACAGAGCUAAUCAUUUCAGGCAUUUUGGGGGGAUAUAAAUCUGAGGAAGUAAGUCUAUUAACUACUGUUUUGGUGAACUUCACCCUUUAUAGCUCAUGACUUAAAUUUCGGCAUUUGGUCCCUAGAAAAUAAUAUUGUGACUUGAUUGUCUCAGUGGAGUAGAGGACUUGGUUGUAGUCCUUCAACCAGAUGCCAGUGAGUUGACUCCAACUCAUGGUAACCUCAUGUGGGUCAUGGUAGAACCGUGAUCCCUCGGGUUCUCAGUGGCUGAUUUUUCAGAGGUAGGUCACUAGGCCUUUCUUCUGAGGCAUUUCCAGGUGGACUCCAACCUCUCCAACCUUUCAGUUCACAGCCGAGCCUGUUACCCAUUUGUCCCCAACCCUCCACCUUUAAUUUGCAGGAGUAACAGGUACUUGCAUGUACUUUUGAGAAAAAAAAAAAUGCUGUUGGUUCCUCCCAGCUCAUCUGAUACACCUGCAAUUCAGGUGGCCUCGAGGACAGCAGACACUACUCACCAUCAUGACCCUUUUAUCCCAGCCUCCCAUCCCAUCUCGCCCUCUUCCCCUGCCCUGGUUCCCAGGGUAGGUGUCGCCAGCAUCUUGGCAGCCCCCGGCCUUUCUGCUCUGCUAGGCCCCCAAGGAAGUUGGUGCCUAAAACCGUUGGCAUCUGUAAAAAGCUGUCAGGGACUCUGGCUUCCCUCAAAGCUCUGUGUCUGUGCUGAACAACAUAGCAGAGACCGCAUGCUGUAGAAACUACCCGUGUGCAUAGUAGGUGCGCAAUACCUGCCCAUGGAAUUUCUGAGGCAGGCAGCACCAAUGGAUCCACAAUGACCCUUAUUCGGGAUGAAAGCUGUCGGAGACUUGACACCUUGGUAAUUUGACACCGUGUGCUAUCUGUAACCCUAAGUGCAGGUUAACAGUGAGUGCUUGAGUUAAUCAUGAGACUAGCUAGUGGUUACCUGAGAACCAAAUCUUUUCCCAAGAGGGGAAGGGGAGGGAGAGAGAAAGACAGGGAGGGAUGGAGGGAUGGGGGAAGGAUGAGAAUUUAUUAAAUUGCAGGAGCUAAAAAAUAAAGAACUUUUUUUUUCAUCUUUCAAAAACGUGGGGGACUUGCUUGAAAGAGUUAUAAAAACAAAACAAACACCUACAACUGGAAGUUACGGUAUGUGAACACAGGUGCGCACACACACGGCCCAGCUGAAAAGUUUAGUAUUUCUGAGUCUUUUGUUUGAUGGUGAUUAGGUGUUUGUAUACAACUUUAACCAUAGCACACUGAAGCUGAUGCUUUGUUUUGUUAAGUUCCAAGUUACAGAUAUUAAACUCUGUAGUCAAGGCUUUUAGUAAAUGAAAAGGCUACAUGUUUUUAUAGUGUUUGGUGGUUAGUUUAAAAUAACAACCCAUGAAAGAAGUCUUAAUUCUCGGUUUGCAGAAAGAGGCUAUUUAUUGCUAAUUACCUACUUUAUUGGCGUCCCUGCGUGGUGCAAAUGGUUAACGCCUCUGCCACCAUCUGAAAGGUUGGAGGUUCCAGUCUACCCAGAGUCGCCUCAAAAGAAAAGCCUGGAAACCCACUUCUGGAAAAGCAGCCAUUGAAAACCCUAUGGACCACAGUUCCAUUCUGACAUACAUGGGGUCCCCAUGAGUUGGAAUCAACUCAUUGGCAACUGGUUUUACCGACUUUAUUAAUUAUUGAGUACCUGUAGUAAAAUUCUUGGGGCAUUUUGGGCAGAUUGUCGUUUUUAAUAAGGUGAUUACUAAAGUAAACAUUUUCUUGCCAAUUUCUCGUAAUGACCUUUUUUGCCAAAUGGGGUUUCAUACGUCAGGACUUGAAAACAUUCCAUAUGAACAGAAUUUGACACAGGGUUGCUGGGAACACAAAAGGAAUGUUUUUGUUUUAGAAGAGAAGUGGAGACAGGAAGGAAGCAGAGAUGUUUAGUAGUUCUCCCUGCCACCUACCCCGAAUGCGCAUUGGGAGAAGAGGGCUACAUUCUACGCCAUCUCUCUCUUUCUGUUUGGAUAAGCCAAUGUAGAACUUUCUGCUCUUCUGGUAUAAGUAUGUGGCCUGAAAGAUAUUUCAUACACAGGCAGGGGUCAGAAGGCCUGGGGUCACCCAGUUCAGCCACCACUUCCUGCUGACUUUGAGUGGGAUAUUGGUGCUCUCUCUGGGCCUCUGUUUCCUUGCUUAAAAAGUGGAGGUGGUCUGUGUCCCCCGGCCACUUAGUUCCUCUCUGUCUGUCAUGGGGUUCGCUGUGCUCACCCCAGGAUGGCAGGACUUCUGCAGGUAAGGACUAUCUGCCAGAGGCCUGCCAGCGCCCUGGCUCCCUCGGAGCGCCCUGUUGAUUCAGAACAUUCUGGAAGUCUUGUGCAAAAGGACUUGACUUUCCACCGAAAUCGCCGCACAGAACAGUUGUGACCUUGUUGAGCAAACAGGUCGCUGUGCACCGCUCCAGCAGGGUCAAAGGGCUGCCUGUCCAAGGGAGCGGAUCCCAGCACAGUGGGCCUGCGGCUCAUUUACAAGGAAGCGAGAAGGGGAAAGAGAAAGGAUGGCAGGCCAGGGAGAGCUGGCAGGUUCUGCUCCGUGGGCCUGGCUGGAGAAGCUAAUGGGUCACCUCGGCGAGGGGACAGAACUCUAGGGUUGCCCUCCACCCCUUCUCCUCUGGAAUGCAGUGUUUAUUCACUGCUCUGUGGAUCGCUGUUUCUCUUGGAAAAUCACUUUUUCCAGGGCUGGAGGAGGCUGGCAGGUUGUUCCCUCCUUCUCCCCUACCCCAGUUAGAGAUCUUGGGACCAGAGGUGGCAGCAGGAGAUGCUUUUGGAAAAGAGAUGGAAGUGAGCCUGGAAGUGGUGCUGGGAACUUCAGAGAGCUCAGUCAGGACUGGAACACCCUGUCCUUCCCCCUUCCCUGUUCUGAGCCUGGGAAGGGGGCGGAGACUCUGGGACGUGGGGACUGGAAAGUGAAAGCCGCCAAGCAAAGUGAACCAGAUUUCCCCUCCCGGCCCCCAUCCUACCCCUAACAAACAACCCGAAAAUGACACCAGGAGCAAAGAUGCGAUGCAAGCGUCACUUAGGUCGGUAGGUGGUCUGAACCCGACUUUUCGGUUUAAGCAUCUGGUGUCUUUUUGUUAGAGACAGUGAUGGCGGCCCCAGUCCCUCCUCAGGUUCAGGGCUCUUGCUCAUCUCAAGACCAGGGUUUCUCAGCAGCAGCCAGAGCAGUCUUUGUUGUGUCCAGUGCUCCCCCGAACCCCUUGUCAAAAGAAAAAACAACUUAUAGCAGCCCCAUGUGUAUCAGAGUAGAACUGUGCCCCACAGGAUUUUCAAUGGCUGAUUUUUCAGAAGUAGAUCACCAGGCCCUUCUUCUGAGGUGCCUCUGGGUGGACUCAAACCACCAACCUUUCGGUUAGCAGCCAAGUGCAUUAACUGUUGGCACCACUCAGGGACUCCCCAAUGUCUCCAGACGUUGCCAGGUGUCCUGUAGGGCGGAAAAUCAUCUUAUCCUCCCCCCUCCCCGUCCCGUUGAGAACCUCUGGGCUAAAUCACUUCCCCUAUUUUGUUUUCUUCACAGCUCUCUUCACUCUCAAAAUGAUCUUGUUUUUUCCCUUGGUCAGUGCUUCUCAGCCCUGGCAGCACAGUCACUUGAGAAGCUUUUAAAGUCCCAGUGCCUAGAACACAACAGAGAACCCCUGAGGGAGCAGGAGAGCAGUGGGCUGCAGACCCCAAAUUCUCAUAAAAAGACCAGACUUAAUGGUCUGACUGAGACUAGAAGGACCCCAGUGGUCCCGGCCCCCAAACCUUCUGUUGGCCCAGGACAGGAACCAUUUCCGAAGCCAACUCUUCAGACAGGGAUUGGACUGGACGAUGGGUUGGUAAGGGAUACUGGUGAGGAGUGAGCUUCUUGGAUCUGGUGGACACUUGAGACUAUGUUGGCAUCUCCUGCCUGGAGGGCAGAUGGGAGGGUAGAGGGGGUUAGAAGCUGGCAAAAUGGACACAAAAAGAGAGAGUGGAGGGAGGGAGCGGGCUGUCUCACUGCGGGGAGUGUAACUGGGAGUAUGUAGUAAGGUGCAUAUAAGUUUUUGUGUGAGAGACUGACUUGAUUUGUAAACUUUCAUUUAAAGCACGAUAAAAAUUAUUUUAAGAAGUCCCAAUGCCUGGCCCCACCUCAGUAAUUAAAUCAGCAUUUCUGAGAUGGGGUCUGAGUACCUGAACUUUUUAAAAGCUUCCCAGGUUGUUCUAGACAGCCUGGGUUGAGGACUCCUGCUCUCUACCCCCUGAAGGGUAAGCCAACUGAGGCCUUGUACACAGUUGUGUUCGUCAGUAAACAGAAUAGUGCCCGGCGUAUAGUAGGAACACAGUGAAGAUUUACUGAGUGAACAAAUGCCCCAGGAAACCCAUCAUCACAGGUAGAUGUUUUUGGUAGGGAUUCUUUAAUUCAACAAACCAUUCAUUAAGUGCUUGCCUUGUGUCAAGAUAAGGAGCCCUUGGCUGCUGGUUCGAACCCACCAGCUGCUCUGCAGGAGGAAGAUGUGGCAAUCUGCUUCCAUAAACAUUACAGCCUUGGAAACCCUAUGGAGCAGUUCUACCCCAUCCUGUAGGGUCAUUAUGAAUCGGAAUCAACUCGAGGGCAACAGUUUAUUUUUCAGACAUGUCAGAUGGGGUGAGAAAUUCUGGAGAUGUAGAUGAGUAAAACUUGACCCUUGUUUUCUAGCAGCCUCUGUCUCCUGGGAGGCAAAUAUGCAAAUACACAGGGCUGUCCUUAUAAUGCGAUAAUUGCUAGACUGGCUGGUGUCUAGAAAGCAGCUGGAAGAUAGAUUAAGUAGUUCUUAAAAAGACCCUCCAGCUUCUCUGUGUAAAGCAUUUUAUUUACAUUUUCAUACUUGACUCUCCUCACUACCCUGUGGAGUAGGUGAGGCUUGGGUUUUCCACUAAGGAAACUGAGGCUCUGGGAGGUUAAAGAACUCCCCUGAAGUCACCCACCAAUAUGUAGCACAGGCUGGAUUCAAACCCAGGUCUCUCUGGAAAGCCCGGUAUCUUUCUACCUCAUGACGCUCUGUCCUAGAACAGAGGGCUCCGGAUUUCCUUGUGCACACGCAGCCCGGCCUGCCUUACGCACACGGAGGACCGAGGGCCAGAGAAGUGGGUCCUGAAUACCCCUGCUGCCAUUAACCAAAUGUAGACGAUUACCCUCCAUGGGUUUCCUGCCCCUUGAAGGUUUCCGAUGAAGGCCCUUCUCUCUCUUUCAUCCUAUAAAACCAGAAAUCGGAUUGUCUUAGUUUGGGUUUCCCAGAAGCAGACCCAAGACAAAGAUUCCAACGUGAAUAGGUUAUUUGGGGCAUGAAAGAAGCACUGGUAGGGGAGCCAGGGAAUGCAACAGGGAGGAGAAACCAAAACCAAAUCUGUUGCCAUCAAGUAGAUUCUAGCUCAUAGCGACCCUAUAGGACAGAAUGGAGCUGCCCCAUAGGGUCUCCAAGGCUGGUGUGUUCAAACAGCUGACCUUUCAGUUAGCAACCGAGCUCUUAACCACUGUGUCACCAAGGCUUCUUCAGGGAACAGACGCAGCCUGACCAAACCUCUUGCCGUCGAGUCAAUUCCAACUAAUAGCUACCCUACAGGACAGAGCAGAGCUGCCCCAUAGAGUUUCCAAGGCUGUAAACCUUACAAAAGCAGACUGCCACAUCUUUCUCCUGUGUAACAGCUGGUGGGUUCAAACAGUCAACCUUUCGGUUAGCAGCUGUUGAGCAAUUCCGACUCAUAGCAACCCUGUAGGAUGGAGUAGAACCGCCCCCAUAGGGUUUCCAAGGAGCGGCUGGUGGAUUCAAACUGCUGACUGUUUUGAUUAGCAGCCAAACUCUUAACCAUUGUGCCACCAGGGUUCCUCAAGGAAGAGAAGGCACCAGUAAAUGGUGCAUUACCCGUAUCAAGCAAGUUCCCACUGUGGGCAGCAGGAGUAUAAUCGCACUGGGGGCUCUGGGCAGCAGUGCAGAGUGCAUGCCUCUCAGAGUUAUCCCGUUUGCGUGUUGAGAGAGACGUGGUACUUACUCACCAGCUCCCAUCAAUCACUGGCUGUGGGCUGCUGCCAGAGGAGGCAUAAUUCCCCUGCACUUCAGGCCUACCACCAGGGAGUACAGUGGGCAUCGGAAACCAGAGAGAGCCCCCAGGCAAGGACACACAGGUGCCUGUGGUUAGCAGUGACGUGCUGUGUAGCGGGAAGGGCAGGGAGGCAUGAGCGGGUGCCAACAGCAUCUAUGCCCAACACAAAGGAACCCCUCUCAACUAUAAUUCUUUAAUUUUCAGUCCCAUUUAUUGAGCACCUAUUGUAUAUAAUGCUGUAUGCUAGUUUGAAGGUUUGAAAUAGAAAGUAAGACUCUCUGUCUUUAAGGAGCUGAGGUCAUGAAUGGAUCACCCUGUAUAAGCAUCAUCCCUCGUCAGACAUCCGCAUCAGAACGUCUAAGUCCCAACUCCUUGGUACAGGAUUCACGGCUCUCCAAGAUCGGGACCCAGCCUGUCUUAGUCAUCUACUGCUGCUGUAACAGAAAUACAACAGGUGAGAAAACUGAGGCUGAAGAGGUUAGUUAAUUGACCUGACGUCACCCCGAUCUGUCGAAUUCACAAUCAGAAUCUUUAGGGAACAAAUGAGAGCGUGAUGGUCAAGAGAUGGAAGCAUGAAGGCCCCAGCCCCCUGGAAAGUGUUAAGAACAGAGACAAGAUGAAAGAGGGAAGAGCUGGGGCUCCUGGCAGUGUGGCUGCUGGAGCCAGAAGAUUCCACUCAAUAGAGUAGAGUGAGGUGCUAAGUGCAGGAACAAAGGGGCCUCUCUUAACUGGGUUCUGGUGUCCGUGGGGAGAGCAGCUUUGACCUCAGGGUCAAAAGCACAGACCCAGGGCUGGGAGAGAAUAAAACAAAAAUUUUCUGUUUCUUCAGGAACUGGAGAGUGUGUGUGUGUGUGUGUGUGUGUGAGAGAGAGAGAGAAGGUGUGUGUGAGAAAGAGAGGUGUGUGUCUGUGUGAGAGAGAAGAGAAGGGAGGGUUGUGUGUGUGUUUGUGUGUAUGUGAGAGAGAGACACCAGGAGAGACUGGGAAAGAGAAUAUCCUCAAGCCAGCUUGGCCUGAGUCAUUAUGUGGAAUAAGGUUGAGAGGUCUGAUUAGAAGAGAAACCAAAACCUGUGAAGAACGGAAAACCAAGAGACCCAUGGGCAUUUCCACCAGGGUCCCAGCUAAACGAAUAGCUGGAGAUGCUGUCCCUAUACCACACCAUAUUUAGCUGGAGAGUCCCUCAUGCCAUGGUGACAUAACUGCGUGGGGACAUGGACUGUAGGCCAUGUAGAGACAGCCCUCGUGGACAUGGGGUUAAGUGAGGUUCCACAGGAUGACAGAGUAGGCUGCCCUGGACGUGGCAGGGGGGAUCCGUUUGAUCUCCGAUAUUUUCCCCAGCCCUUGAUAAGUUUGCUGAAUGGUGUAUGGAAAUUUUUGGGCCCCUGGAAGGCUAAUUCCAGGGUGUUCUCUUUGGGAAGAUAAACAGAGGGCGAUGGGUUUGGCUCUAACAGGGUCUUAUGGGCUGGUUUUUUAUUUUACACAGAGUACACAGGAGAUGACAGGAAAUAAUUUAUUUACCCACGACAAAUUGAGAGUUAUCUUUUUUUUUAACAGUCAUCAAAACACUGCAUUUCAACAAAAAGUUAGAAAAUAUUUACUUAACUAAGUCAGACACUGAACAGAAUAUUAUACAACUACCUAAAUAAUUGGAAACCCUGGUGGCACAGUAGUUAAGAGCUAUGGCUGCUAACCAAAAGGUCGGCAGUUUGACUCCAUCACGCGCUCCUUGGAAACCCUCUGGAACAGUUCUACUCCGUCCUAUAGAGUUGCUAUGAGUCUGAGUCGACGGCAACGCAUUUGGGUUUUUUUUUUUCUCUAUCUAAAUAGUGGUUAUGAGGACUGUGUCAUAAAGAGAGGUGUUUCCUAUGGGACAUUGCGUAAAACAAGCAGAUGCUGAGUAGAGUAACAGUUUUUUAAGGAAUCCAGAUGUGCUACAAGACAGAGAGGUUAAGUAAGUGGCCCAAAGUCAUACAACUGGUAAGUGGGUGAGCCAGGACUGAAACCAGGCAGAUUGAUUCCAGAGUGUGUCCUCUUAACCACAGCCACGCUCUUCUGCCGAGGGCAUUUUAUGAUACAUAAAAAAAAACAAACCCAGUGCCGUCUCCAAAUCUGCAAAGUUUUUACCCACUUGCAUUUAAACAAGGCCUUUUACUCUAUUAAAGAGCUUUAAAAAUUACAACAGUGCUUAGAGUUGAGUGGUGGAACUAUGGAUAGUUUUUUUUUCCUUUACAUUUCAAAAUUUCUCUAAUGUACUUAAAAAAAUAUACUUACGUUCCUUUUUUUAGACUAUGUUACAGGUUGUUAAUUGAUAUCAAGUUGGUUCCAGCUGGUGGCGACCCCAUGUGCUGGGUCCUGUGCCAUCUUCAUGGUCACGGUUUUGGUUAGUGGCCCUAGGCUGGCCAAAGGAAUGGCAGGAGCAAAUCAGGAAAGGUGAUCUUUGCAAUUUUGAUGCUAAGACAGCGAAUGUGUCACUCUAGACAGGGAGGAUCUGCACAUGGGGGACUUUAGCGUGUUGAGCUUUGGGGAUGACUGAACGUCCAAAGGAAGGCCCACCUGAGCAGCUGGUACCAGACUCUGCUCUGAUCUUUAGCCCCAUCCUGGAAGUCAUCUGAGGCGUGGACAGUUCUUUAAUAAGCUAAUCCCGCUGCAACCCCAACAGCUUCCAAACACCUACCCUAUUUUCCAAAACAAGAACCAGUUUAGUACGGUCACCUGCUGGUCGCCCAGUUUGCAUUUGGUGGUCAGAGCUGACCAGGGUACAAUUCAGCUAAAUUAAUUUUGCAAAUUUCUAGCGGGUGUACAUGUGGGAGGAGCUCUGGUGGCGCAGUGGUUAAAGCGCUCAGCUGCCAACCCUAGGGUCUGCGGUUGGAACCCGCCAGCUGCUCCUUGGGGAAGAGAUGUCAUAAUCUGCUUCCAUAAAGACUGACAGCCUUGGAAACCCUAUGGGGCAGUUCUACUCGUCCUAUAGGAUCGCUGUGAGUAGGAACUGACUCCAUGGCAAUGGUUUAGUUUGUUUUGUUUUUUAUACAUGUGGGGAAUGAGGUUGAGAAUUUGGGAUUUAAAAACGCAUUUCAGAAAUGAUACCACAUUAGGGCUUCAUUUCAGUCCCUUGGGUUGGCCACCAAGUAAACAGCUUCGUUUCCAUCCCUGCUGGAGGCACUGAAUGCAGCUUCCACACUUGCCAACAGAUAAAUGUCUCCUGUCUCUGCCGGUGCUUAAUGGCUUUUAGUGGAAUUAAGGCUGGGAAGAAGGGAACUGACCUCCUUAUACUGGUGAAAUUGAAACACAGUGGAGACAAUUCCAUUCCAGACAGACCUCUUCCCUCUCAGAUUACCGGCAGCCCAGCCAACUCCCUUUCAGCCUGUUCAGGUAAAGUGCAAGACAGAGGCCACCGGACUCAGGGCCCGGUGGAAGAGACUAAUGUCAAGCUUUGUGUUUGGGAUUUUUCAGCAGAGAGGAGAUUUGCAUUUCUAAUGAAGGCCACGCAGGGUGUGCUUCAGCCCAGUGGCCCCGCGUCUCUCAAUUCUCCAACGGCUCAGUUUCAGGGAACAACGGGAUGUCUUCAGCAUAAACAAAUAGCUGUGGGAAGAGAAGGAAAGGCACAGGAUAGCGGGGGUUAGGGGUGCUUCCUGGUGGGAGCCUUUAGAGUGGUGGUGUAGCCGGUUGUGAGCGCUCCGCUAACCCUCCUCAGCCCUCACUUGCCCUUUGUCUCUGUAAAACCAGUUGCUGUCCGGUCACUUCCGACUCACGGCAACCCCGUCCCGUGCGCGGCAGAGUAGCACUGCACUGCAUAGGGUUUUAAGUGGCCGCUUUUUCAGAAGUGGCUUCCCCAGGCCUUUCUGUCGAGGCGCCUCUGAGUGGACUCAAACCUGCAACCUUGUGGUUAGUAACCAGUUGUACCACCCAGAGACGCCUUUGUCUCUGUGAGAAAAACUUACUCAGUGUUACAGUCUGAUAUUUUGAGAUUUAUUGCUGUUUCUCUGAGAAGAGAUUAUCCAGGCGUGUCCUUCCCGGCAUUGUUUAUACAGCGGAAAAUUGGGGAAAGAAAAACAAUGUCCAAACAGAGGCAAAUGGUUAAAUAAAUCAAUGAUUAAAUAAAUGAAUGGUUAGGUAAAUAAGUGGUAGAAACCUUAAGUCAUGCAGUAAGUCUGUUUAGGAACGUGAUAAGGAAAAAAAAAGUGUUAAAUGAAUAAGGAAGACUACAUACUAUACAUAGAGUUUUUAGUUAAAAAGAAAAAUGCACACACAAUACGUGUGCACAGGUGGAAACAGACUAAAAUGUUAACACAGUUAAUCCCUAGACAUCAAAUCAGAUGAUAAUUUUCCUUCUUUUAUCUUUAAAUUUCCUACAAUAGAUACAUAUUUUUUUCUGAGUCAAAAAGGAUUAUAUAUCAAAGUGGGAAACGAUCAUAUACUCUCAUUUCUUUUCUUCCCCCCACUCCUUCUCUCCUCUUUUUUCUCUCUCUGUCUGGGAACAUGAACGCUGCUCUUUCCGGAACCAUCCACGUUCCACCAGGCAAAGCAUUCGAUUGCUCAGAGGUGAUAGCACACCACGGAAGGAUACGACUAAACUUAAACGUUUCCAGUUCCUCUAACUCGUCCCUUCACGGAUCCAUGAGUUCAUCUAAACCCUUCUUGCACUUGUUCAUGUGUUUAGCUGGUACAGCCUCUCAGGCCUUCGAGUUCUGUGUGUUUUCCACCCUCUGUGGGAAGUGGCAGAGGCCUGCCUGACUCCUGUCCUCAGAUGACUGCCUGCCGACUCCCAGGGUCCUCCCAGUUUGUGCCCUUCUAGCAUCGGGGGCACCAAACAACACCAGUUGCACAUUCCCCUUAGCAGAGCGACAUCGUGGAUUGUGUAGACUUGUAGAACGUCUGUGUUGGAGGAUGCUAGUGUUUUCCUAAGAGUCCACAAUACAGCAUUCCACACAAUGGGAGUCAGUUUUCCAGAAAUCAUACAGUACCCAGGAUAGGGAGGCACUGGGGUUCUGGGAGGUUUUCUUUUGCUGGAAUUGGGUAACAAUGGUUACACCUUGUUUCCAUCAGAAAUUCUAGCAGUGAUACAUACGUUUGGUUAUUUGGUCAGUGGAGAAAUUAAUGUAUGAGAGGCAGAAUCUUUUAAACUUUGGGGUCUGUAGAAGGAGGCAUUGAUGGGACUUUGCUAAUCCGGGCCAGGCCUGUGAGGGGAGAGGGAAGGAAUAGUCCACCCCACCUGACACAUGAGAAAAUGGACUCUGAGAGCAUGGGAGCAUUGGAGAGAAUCCAGGCUGCCCAACUCUAAGGCCUGGGCUCUUUCCAGGGCACCUAACCUGCCUCCCUGUUUAAACCAAAGCCUGAGAUAUAUUUCCUGACCUUGGAAUUAUUUAGUAGACUUAGGAUUUGUACAUCCUCCAACUGAGGUCUUUGUUUCCAGACUGAGUCUUUGGUUUAGGAAACAAUUCCUUUAAUGGCCCUUGAUUGUUUUAGUUGCCUUUCGAGAUCCUUUAAUCUUCCCACACCUGUGGACACGCAGACCUCCAGGUUCAGCAGGAUGUGGUAGGCAGCAGGGUGGGCUCUGGAAUCUGACAGCCUGGGUCUAAAUGCUGAUUCCCCAGUCACCAGUCCAUGAUCCUGAAUGAGUGGUUUAACUUCUCUGAGCAUCAGUUUUCCCUGCUGUAAAAUGGGCGUAAUACUAAUAAUAGCUGCCUUAAAGGGCUAUUGAGGGAAUUAAACAACAUAAUGAAGGAAAAGUGCUGGUCCAGUGCUUUGUGCCCAGGACGAUAAAUAUGAGUCGUCGUCACUGUUGUUCCUGGUGGUUUUCCAUGGAAGGACCAUGGCCAGGACAGUGUCAGCUUUGAACCUCAUUUCCUCAUUGGCUGUGUUGUUUGCUUUAUCCUUUAGGGGAAAACCAUCAAAGAGCUCUUCACUCACUGUCUUAGUCUGGGUUAUCUAGAGGAGCAAAACCAGUGAAACGUGUGUGCGUGUGUGUGUAUACACACAUGUACAUAUAAUAAAAAGUAUAUAUAUAAAUAAACGCACACACAAUAGAGAGAGACUGAGAGAUUUACUUCAGAGAAAUGGCUCAUGUAAUUGUGGGAGCUGGCAACUCCCAAAUCUUUGAGUCAGGCAGCAGCUAGAACCAGAGGUCAGGUGACGAGAAGAGUGCAGAGUCCACAGAGAGAACAAGCUUUACCAGAAGAUUCAUUUAUACAGUGGAGGCAGACUCCACACUCCCAAGGACAUUCCGCUUUCAACUGACAGCCAGGUCACAUCAUGGAAAGUGAUUACAUUAUAUUACACUAUGGGACAGCAACCAGUUCAGUAUCUGCCAGACUACUGAGAGUGACAGCCUAGCCAAGCAGACACAUAAAUUAGCCGUCACGCUCAGCCCGUGCCCACUUUAAAGGGGAGGAAAGCAAGGCCCUGAGAACCCACAGGUCUUGCUCGGUCCCACAACUUAGCAGGGGCAGUGUAGGAGGAAGAGCCUGAGUCCACUGUCCUUUAUUCCAGAGCUGUCCUCUCUGUAGUUCCCUCUGGAUGCCUCCUUUGAUUCUCCACCCACGAAAAUAAGGAGAACCGAGGGACAGAAAUAGCCAGAUUCGUGGUAACCCCUGUAUUGAUCACUGAGCAUUGACCUUGGGCCUGCCCCUUGGCUAGGCUCUUCCUUUCCUUAGUAGCUUUGGGUGCUACUGCUUGGUGUAGUACUGAUGGUCCCUGUUCCAUCUCCCCCACCCCCACUUCCCCUGACUGUGCUGUCACAACUCCCAGUGGUGGGGGAUGACGGGAGACACCAUGGGACUGCAGAAUAAUGGGGAGCCAAUUGGUGACAUCUCCUGGUUUGAAGCCUUGUCCUCCCUAUACUCCUUAUACAUCCGGUGGCACAGGAAUUCCCUGAAGCAUGUGGCACCUGAAAAGUCCCUUCCAGGUCUCAAAGGCCUCCUCUGCCCAGAACUCUCCCUUCGUGAAGCCACCACUUGCUGAGCACACCUAUGAGGUGUCAGGCUUUCUGGGGCUACAGUGCUGAACAAGACCCCACUCCUGCCUUCGAGGAGCUCAGCCCGGGAGAGUCAGGCACACACUGUGAGCCAAAACAGGGGGGGAUGCUCACAUGUGCAGAGUGUUGGGGGGUGGUAUUCCUGACAAAGGGGGGACCCAAGCAAAGGCUCAGAGGUGUGAACUCAUACUUAGCUUCAUUGUUCUCUGAUUUCUCUGGGUGUGUUUCUUCUCCCCAGCUAGACUCUAAGUGGCUUCCAGACAAGGAAUCAUGAGUCCUCUUUCUUCCCCUCUUGUUGUUGGUAGCUGCCAUCAGUGCAGCCCCCCAUGCACAGUGACCCCAUGCACAACGGAAAGGAAUGCUGCCUUGUCUUCCGUCAUCCCCACGAUGGGUUUUUACCGGCUGAUUUUCAGAAGUAGAUCACCGGGCCUUUCUUCCUAGUCUGUCUUAGUCUGGAAGCUCCAUAGAAAGCACCUUCACAUGCGUGGUUUUAUUUGGCCCACUCAGUGGCUUUGUAAGGUUGGUCUUUAUCCCCAUUUUAUAGAUGAGAAAACUUUGGCCCUCAGGUUUUUUUUUUUUUUUCCGAGCUAAAACAUGCGCUCAGAUCUGAGGUCUGGCUCCAACACCACCCUGGCUCUCACCCUGUGGUCGACACCGGGGACGUGUGUGUGGAUUCGGUGCUAAACUGCAGAGCCCUCUUCUUAAAGACACUGAGAGGAAGGGGACACGGGAGCAUGAGCUCGUGGGCACAGUGCAAAGGGGGCUGGCUUUGGAAGUAAGACCCCGGCUCAAGUUCCAGCUCUGCCAGGCAUGAGCUGCAUGGCCUUAGGAUAGUCACUUGUCUUUGGGACUCAGUUUCCCUGGUUGGAAAUUGAGGAGGUGGUGGGAGGUUCCAUGUCGUAAAUCUGCAAAACUGGAGUUGAGAACAUUACCCUUCAGCACUUUCUUCUCUCUCAGUACCCCCAGCCCCAGCAGGCCGGUGUUCCCCAGACCCCUCCCCACCACCUCCAUCAUGCAGGUCUUUUCUAGCCCCUUUACUUACCUCUCCCCAGCUGACCCAGUCUCCAGCUAAGUGGAAUCACCUGGGAGCUUGUUAAAAUGCUGAAUCCUAGGCCCCCUCCCGGAACCUAAGGAAUCUCAAUCCCUGGGAGAUGGGGUCCUGGGAACCUGCAUUUCUCCCCUGAACACUCUCAGGAAAUUCUGACGAUCAGCCUACUUCUGGCAUUCACUGCCUAAGCUGAGCGGUUCCCAAACUUUAACAGGCAUCAGAAUCACUUGGGGGGCUUGUAAGAUGGCUGGACCCUACCCCAAGAAUUUCUGAUUCAGUUGGUCAGGGGUGAAGUCCCCGAAUUCGCGUUUCUAACAAGUUCCCAGAUGAUGUAGGGACCACAUGUUCAGAACCGCAGCCCAGCUCAUUCCCUGAGAGCCCAAAAAGCAACCCAGCUAGGGAGUCUUUGUUGAGAGGGGGUGGCUGGGUGGAGCAGCCCAUCGGUAGGUACAUGAAUAUUUUCACAGGAACCAUCUGAAGGCAGUGCUACUGCCAUCGAUAUUAUUGAGAUCAUUACAGUAACGGUUACUGCGUACUCCAACACAUACCACAUGCCAGGCCCUGUGCCGUAUGUCUUAGAACCCAUAUUUCUAGCAAUUACCCAGGGUUUGCAGAUUUAAAAGCUGAGGAUCAGUGAGGUUAAGUAACUGCCUCAAAUACACUUACUCCAAGUGAGAGCAGGACUUUCUUAGAACAAAGUGUGGGCUAUUUCCCUUAUCCCAGUAGGCCUCCCUUUGCUAUCUGCCACGUUGUUGUGUUGUUGUUGUUGUUAGGUGCCCUCAAGUUGAUUCCGACUCAUAGCAGCCCCCUGUGAUGAAGUAGAACGGCCCCACAGGGUUUCCUAGGCUGUGAUCUUUAAGGGAGCAGAUGGCCAGGUCUUCCUCCCACAGGGCCGAUGGUGGGUUCGAACCAUCGACCUUUAGGUUAGGAGGCGAAUGCUUUACCUAUGUACCAUGAGUGACUCUUAAUUGUGGAAAUUUCAAAUCAGGUUCAGAGAGGGGUCACUGCGCGGGUUGGGGGUGGUAUUUAGGGUUGCUGGAGCCUUUCAUUACUUCCCCACAAAUUGUACCCUGCUGGUAGCGGCCUUUGGUCCACACCCUCGGGACAGAGCUGCUGUUUUGCCUGCUUUUAAGGGACCCUUCUUGUAAAUGGGGAAACCCUGGUAGCAUAGCAGUUAAGAGCUACGGCUGCAAACCAAAAGGUCAGCAGUUCGAAUACACCAGGCGCUCCUUGGAAACGGUAUGGGACGGUUCUACUCUGUCCUGUAGUGUAGGGUCGCUAUGAGUCACAAUCGACUCGACAGCAACGGGUUUGGUUUUUUGCUUGUAAACGGAGGGUUGUUGCGUUUAUAACACUCAGCAACUUGAAUGAAAAUGAUGGGCUGCUGCCGAAGCAGCGUGGAGGAGCCCAUUCUGGCCUGGCUGGUGUUCUGGUUGCCUGUCAGGGCCCUGGGAAAGAACUCUUGGCACUGGAUUCCAAGGGACGUUAACCACGUGGAAGUGGAGGAGCUUGUGUUAACUCUUCUAGCCGGUGGCUUCCUCUGGAACUUUCCUCCCCCAACCUGGGAAGAUCUGCCCCUUGUUUAAUAGGAUGCUCAUUGAUUGGUAAAGAAGUAUAAAGUGUAGGGGCAGUGAGGGCUUUUUCUGCGCUUAGCUUUUUAUAUUCUCACCAUUCACCAAUACACACACACACACACACACACACACACACACACAGAUCAUGAUUGAUGCUAGCAUUUUCCUUCAUUUAAUUUUAUAUCUGGCAGGGACCUCAGAAGCCAUCCAAGCCACCUCUACCUUUGCUAGUGUGUCUCCUGCUCUCCUACCUGUGUUCUUCGCUCUGCAAAAAAAAGGAAGGAAGGAAAGGGAGGAGGGAAAGAAAGAACUGUAGUCAGACAUGAAUCCUUACUAAUACCUUCAGAGUGUUAUCUUUCUGUUUUAAGAGGACACACAUGCUUAGAUCAGACUUUGUGCACACACUUGAAGACAGCUUGGUGGCAUCGGUUGGCAUUGAAAGUCAACAGUUCUAGUCCAGGAUCUGCCACUUGUCCAUACUACCUUCUCUGAGCUUCACAUGGCGAACCUGACCUGCCUACCUCCCAAGGGUGUCAUGAAGGAAAAAGAGAUCAUGGAUGAGAACUGGAAGGGACUCUAGGAAUCCAGAUGUUUUGUUUCGCUAAGGGGAAAACUGGGGCCCUGAGAGAUGUGGUAACUUGCAUGAGGUCACACAGCAAGUUGAGGGCAGAAGAAAAGAACUGUAACUGGUGUAUCGUCAUGGCUGACAUCCUUGCUGUUUCCUUCCAUGUGGUCGUUUUGCAGAUGGUGAGUGAGGUGACUAGGGACGUGGGGGAAGGUCACGGUGGGAGGAAAGCUUCUCCAGGAAUCUCUCUGGCCAGAGGUCCUUCAUCAGCUUCUAAAACAGAACUUUUUAUUGCUGAAUAGUCUGUCUCUCUCUUUCGUGUGCGUGCACACACACGCACAUUUCUAUAAUAGCCCUCUUGGUUGAAAUAGCUGAAAAGAAAUGUCUCUUCUUUGCAGAAGAGAAUCACACUUUUCCUCCUGAUCGUGGGGAAACCUGCUGGACCUUUUAUCCAACUAUAAGUGUCGGAAUGGAACACAUGAAGGAGUGACGCUUACAGCUGAGACGCUACUGCUCACACUACCUUGCAUGUAUUGAGUUUGGCUUUGCACUUGCCUAAGGCAUCGCUCCCCAUUACCCCGUCUCCUUCCUACAGCUACACACAAUCCUGACUCCCCUGCCUCAAAAUACGUAUAGGGUGGAAACAAAUAACAUAGGUUGUAAAGACAGAUGGACGUAAGAUUGAAACUCUUAUUUCUCACUAGCAGUGUGACCUCAGGCAGGUUGCUUAGCCCCUCUGAGCUUUAGCUUCCUCAUCUGGGCAAUAAAAAUACCUCUUAAUGUUGUGAGGAUUAACCAAGGUAAAUCAUAAAACGUGCUUAGUACAGUGUGGCACAUAGUAGGUGCUCUAUAAAUCUUAUCUACCACUACUGAAAACACUGGAGAUGACGUUGAAGAUCACCUUGUCAUCAUUUUCAUAAGGGAACUAACAGGUCUGUAAUUUAAAUGAGAUCUCACUAGGCCUCCAGCAACUUCAUUGCAUAAUUAAAGCUGGUUUUCUACCCAGAGAAGAAAAAAUACUGUCCAACUUUUAAGCACACCAUAACUGAACUGUUGCCUUUGGAAUACUGAGAUACCAUCAUAGUGAUUUUCAGUCAUACCUUGUGUUUAUCCAAACCUAAAGCCACUGUCAUUGAGUUGAUUUUGACUCAUAGCAACCCUUUAGGACAGAGAAGAACUGCCGCAUAGGGUUUCCAAGGCCGUAGUCUUUACAGAAGCAGACUGCCACAUCUCUCUCCCAUGGAACAGCUGGUGGGCUCAAACUGCCAACCUUCUUCUGGUUAACAGCCAAGCCUUUUAACCACUGUGCCACCAGUGCUUCUCCUUGUGUUUAUAAAUAUCUGAAAGGAGUCCCUGGGGGGUGCAAACAGUCAGUGUGCUUGACUGCUAGCCAAAAGAUUGGAGGUUGAAGUCAACCCAGAGGCACCUUGGAAGAAAGUCUUAGCAAUCUACUUCAAAAAAAAUCAGCCAUCGAAAACCCUGUAGAACACAGUUCUACUGUGACAUACUUGGGGUCGCCAUGAGUCAGAGUCAACUUGAUGGCAACUGGGACAUCUGAAAAGGACAUAAAAUUGCAAACAAUGAAAAGUACAGGUACAGUAAAACUGGAAACCAUUAAAAUGAGUAAAACCACAAAAACCCAAUUAUAAAUGGGGUCAAGGAUGCACUUGUGUUGCGCUUUCCAGUUUACAAAGUGCUUUCAUACACCUGACUUCUGUUAUCCUCAGAACAAGCCUGGAAGGUAGAUAUUAUUCUGCCCAUUCCACAGGUGAGGAAAUAGAGGCUCAACUAAGUGCCAUAGCCAGGAGUCCAACCCAGGUCUUCCAUUGCUCAGUGUAAGGAGAGUGGUCGAUGCUAAGCUGGAAAGACAGGCAGGAGCCACAUCACACAGGGCCUUGUAGGACUUGGUAAAGAACUUUGGGUGUUGUUCUUAGCUCAGUGGGAAGCUCCUAGAACGUUUAAGCAGAAGGGUGUUGAGAUCCUAUGUGCCUUUCAAGGAGAUCACAGGUUGGAGUGAGAAGAGCAAAAGUGGAACCAGGGAGGCUGUUAAGGAAGUUCCGGCAGGAGAUGACGGUGGCUUGAGCCAAGGGAGUGACAGUGGGGAUAAAGAGAAUUAGCUAGAUUCAGAAAUAUGGAGGUCAAAAGAUAGCCUUCCUGGUGGAUUGGAUAUGGAUGUUGACAGACAGGGGAGAACUAAGGAUGACUCAGCUUCCAAGUGGGUCUGUGGGUGGUUGAUGGUGGGGAGAUCUGUAGGAGAGACAGGAUUCCAAGAUGGGGUGUGAGGUGGGAUGGAAUCUAGAGAUCCAUCUGAACGUGUUAGGUGACAGCGACCUAGCACUUACUUUAUGAGGAGCCCUGGUGGCGCAGUGGUUAAACACUUGGCUACUAACCGAAAGGUCGGCGGUUCAAACCCACCAGCCAGUCUUCAGGAGAAAGAUGUGGCAGUCUGCUUCCGUAAAGAUUACAGCCUUGGAAACCUUAUGAGGCAGCUCUGCGCGGCCCUAUAGAGUCACUACGAGUCAGAAUUGACUCAAUGGCAGUGGGUGGGUUUUUAGCACUUACAUUUUUUUUAGUAAGAGGAUAUAUGUCCCCCAAACACUCAGCCUUCUGAUAGCAGAGAGCAGGUCAUAUGCACUUCUUUCUGGGCAUUUAAUAAACGCUUUCUGUGAGCUGGUGAGGUUGGGCCCCAUCUCCAGUCAGCCCAUCUGUAAAGAAUGCUGCUGUUGGCUUCACGACACGCUGUAGUCUUUCUGCCGCCAGGGAACCGGGGAGCAAUCAGUGACCCCUUCUCAGAAUACUGGGCCUGGUACAAGAAGCGAACAAAAAACCCCAAUGCCCUGCCUUCUAACGUUUCAGGCAACUUUUUCUUCUGCCAGUCUCCAUGGGAUCUUUCCUCUGCUGAUGUUGAAAGUGGUUCAUUUUUUUCUUUUAAUAUUGUAAUUAGGCCUUAAAUGACCUUUGCCCUGUGGUAGGUUUUGAAUAGAUAAAACCUCGUAAAAUAAUAAUAACUGCAGUGACAAUUAUAAACACUUGUAGAGUGCUGUUCCAUUAAAAGGCCUCUUUUAUGUAUGUUUAUUUUAUUUUAGCCUCACAAAAAUUUCUGAGGUAAGUAUUUAGCUCUACUUUUUUGAGAGGAAGGUAGUGGCCAAGACCAUGUAACACUAUGAUAAUAACCCCACCUACCUCACAAGGAUUUCAUUUUACUUGGAUCCACAAUCAACAGCCAUGGAAGCCAUGGAAGCAGCAGUCAAGAAAUCAAAAGACGCAUUGCAUUGGGUAAAUCUGCUGCAAAGGACCUCUUUAAAGUGUUGAAGAGCAAAGAUGUCACCUUGAAGACUAAGGUGUGCCUGACACAAGCCAUGGUAUUUUCAAUCACAUCAUAUGCAUGUGAAAGCUGGACAAUGAAUAAGGAAGACGAAGUGACGCCUUUGAAUUGUGGUGCUGGUAAAGAAUAUUGAAUAUACCGUGGACUGCCAAAAGAACGAAAAAAAUCUGUCUUAGAAGAAGUACAGCCAGAAUGCUCCUUAGAAGCAAGGAUGGCGAGACUGCGUCUUACAUACUUUGGACAUGUUGUCCGGAGGGAUCAUUCCCUGGAGAAGGACAUCAUUCUUGGCAAAGUACAGGGUCAGUGGAAAAGAGGAAGACCCUCAACGAGGUGGAUUGACGCGGUAGCUGCAACAAUGAGCUCAAGCAUAACAACGAUUGUAAGGAUGGCUCAGGACCGGGCAGUGUUUCGUUCUGUUGUGCAUAGGGUCACCAUGAGUUGGAACUGACUCGACGGCACCUAACAACAACAACAACAACAAGUUCACAGGGUUGUUGGGAGGAUUAAAAGAGUUGAGCUAGGUGAGGUACUUGGAACAGGGCCUGGCACAUGAAUGUCAGCUGCUGUUGUGAUUAGGAUUAGUUUACAGAGAGAAAAACUGAGGAGCAGUGAGGCUGUGAUGUACACACACUCACCCAGCUGGUCAGCCAUGGAAUCAGCUACAAGUUGUGUACACCCUCACGCCACUCUCAGGAGGAAUCUGUGUUACAACGUGAUACUCGGUUGGACAGGAAGGCUGCUCCUUUCCCCUGUAGGAGCUUCCCCACCCUCCUCCAGCCAGUCAUCCCUACCUUCUCCCUUGCAAAUCUAUCUUCCACCUGGGGUGGGUUGAGCGCAUCAUCCAGGAAGGCUCUGAGCCUGUCCUCUCUGCCUCUGUUGCUUUCCUGUUCCAGGUGCCCCCCUCUCUGCCCAUCAGCCUCCAUUCUUUGGGGCAGGAAUCAGGCCCACUGCCUCCACCACCUCCUUUCCUAACCCCUUCUUCAGUGUAUUUCUGUAGAGUGGAGCCAACUCCAAGCCCCAGAGUCCAGCACGUGGAUUCAUCAAUCCCAGUUUACUCCUCAUGUGUGGGUCUUGGCGCCCCCGUUGGGUAGCUGGAGUCAGAGGUCAUUGUCACUCUCCAUCAUCCAUGUGUCUGGCCCAGAGCAGGGGCCGUGGCAUGAUGUUAUACAACUGACUUAUUAAAAAAUAAUAAACUUAAUAAUCACCAGAACUAUCUUGGCAAACAGGUGGUGUGCACUUCCAAGUGUCCUCAGGAGCUCUUCCCUAAUCCCAAAGGUGGAGCCAUGGCCACCCCAGCCAUGCCACAUUCUAUGCAUCAUCCCAGGUCUUGGCAGAUCUCGCCCUUUGAAGGCGAUUCAGCAAUCAAAUCUGUGGAGUCAGGAGUGUGACUUUCCCUUGAGAAAUAUAGUUGGACUUGGGCAGUUAGAAUAUAGAAUAAUUAUAGAAAGACAGCUACAGAUAAAGACAGCUUCAAAUAUGUCUUGGGCAAGGGCCCCAUCACUGAAAUAAAUGUAAAGGCUCUGUUACAGGGACCUCUUUGAAAGGCUAGUUCUUCUUGGCUGGACCAGUUCUGGUAAGUGUAUUCAAAAUUUUCCCUCAAAAUAUAUUUUGAGGAACGAAUGAGUGCCUAUAAGUGAACGGCAUUACCUCUUAGCCAAAGUGUGUAUUUGAGAGACUAAGUGUGUAUAAAAAAAAAAAAAAGUAUAGUUGUGUGUAUUUGUGAAUGUAUGUGCCUGUGAGAGAGAGGGAGCCCUGGGUGGUAUAAAUGGUUAAUGCACUCGGCUGCUAACCAAAAGGCUGGCAGUUAGAGUCCACCCAGACGCAAAUCGGAAGACAGGCCUGGUGAUCUACUUCUGAAAAAUUAGUCUUUGCAAACCCUGUGAAGCACAGCUCUCUGACACACAUGGGGUCGCCAUGAGUUGGAGUCAACUCCACGGCAACUGGUAAAGUGAGAGAGGACUGCUGGCCCCAAACGCAGCCAUUUGACGCAAGUAGGGCCUUUUUAGAUUGUCAUUGGAGAGGGGCGGGACACAGGGAUAGGCCAUGUCACUCCUGCCUUUUUCCCCUUCCCCCAAAGACCAAAACCAAACCCACUGCCGUCAAAUCGAUUCUGUAGGACAGAGUAGAGCUGCUGCGUAGGGUUUCCAAGGCUAUAAAUCUUUGAGGAAGCAGACUGCCACAUCUUUCUCUCACAGAGUGGCUGGUGGCUUCAAACCACUGACCUUUUGGUUAGCAGCCAAAUGCUUUAAUCACCGUGCCACCAGGGCUCUCUCCUCUUCCCCCACCGGCCUCCAAAUUUGUUUCAGCCCAGUGGAUUCCUUUAAUGACCUGAAUUUAAUUAUUAUAUUGUCUAUCAAUAAACCCCCCCCUUCUGUCCCCACAUCCCAGCCCUACCCCCGCCCUCAGGGUUAACUGGCUCCUCCUCACUAAGGGUUCUAAGGACGUGGUUUUCUGUGGGAAGAGGUUUGGGUUCACAUUUACAGGCCCUGUUUGUUCUCAGGUCCCACUGUUGAUUCCUGUUAAAAUGAUGAAGAUUUGACAGGGGGAGGGUUGGCGGGGGAGAUGUUUCCCCUGGAUUCCCAAUAUUUGUUUUUUGUUUGGUAAAAUAUUUUCCUGGGCAUCAGAGGAAGAGGAAAUGGACAAUUGUUUCUUCAGAGACUGAUUUCUAGGCAGUGGCAGAGGUUCAGUAGGUGGCCAGCACGCCCGGCCCCCAGCCCCCAAGGCCAGGGGGUGGGAGCCAAGAGAGCUUCAGUGUGGGUAUCAUGGACGGAGGAGGUGGUGUGGAAAUCCAGAUCAUACACAGUUCCUGAGUGAUUGUUACAAGUCUUGAGGCGCCGCUAAAAUCCAUUUACUGAAGCUGCUGCCUCACCAGGGCCUCUUCAUGGCUACUUGUGGGUGGACUCGACAGCUGUAACUAAAAUCACCAGAUUGGAUGGAAUUCCCAGCAAAGCCCUGGAUCAGUGCAGUGGCUGCCAACGAGCUUUCAAAUGGCUGGACAGGGGCUUUUUCAAGGUGGAGAGGUGGGGCUGGACCGUGGGAAGGGUGCUCAGCUUUCCUGCUAGAGGCCAGAUUCACCAGUCCUGUUUCUUGGUGCAGCUGUGAGGCUCUGAGUCUCCGUUUCCUUACUGGAGACACGGGGUUAAUGAUACCCCCUUAAGGGGUGAGCAUCUCUGAAGCCAGAUAGUCCAGGCUCUGUGACAGGGUUGCUGUGUGACUUUGGGCAAGUUGCUUCACCUCUCUGUGCCUAGUUUUUCUCGUAUUAUUCUCCUAGGUCUGCCGUGACAAAUUACCACAAACUGGGUGGCUUAAAACAGAAAUGUGUUCUCUCACAGUUCUGGAAGCCAGAUUCUGAAAUCGAGGCGUUGGCAGGAGGCACUCCCUCUGGAGGCUUGAGGGGAGAAACUUUCCUUGCCUCUUCCAGCGUCUGGUGGCUGUUGGCAUUUCUUGUGGCUGCAUCACCCCAAUGUCUGCCUCCAUCUUCACAUGGUCUCCUCUCUGUCUCUCACAAGGACUCUGAUCACUGGAUUUAGGGCCCACUUGGAUAGUCCACGGAAACCCUGGUGGCGUAACAGUUCAAAUCCACCCUGCGCUCCUUGGAAACUCUGUGGGACAGUUCUACACUGUCCUAUAGGGUCACUAAGAGUUGGAAUCAACUCAACAGCAGCGGGUUUGGUUUUUGGUUUGGAUAAUCCAGAAUGAUUUUGUCUUGAGGUCCUGGUGGGGUAAUGAUUAAGAACUCGGCUCCUAACCUACAAGUCAGAAUCUGCCAGCCGCUCCUUGGAAACCCUGUGGGGCAAUUCUACUCUGUGUUAUAGGGUCGGAAUUGACUCAAUUGCAAUGGGUUUGGUUUUGAGGUUUUUUUUUUUUUUUUUUAAAUCCCUGGCAUCAUUACGUCUACAAAGACACUUUUUCCAAAUAAGGUCACGUUUUCCAGUUCCGGGGGUUAGGACGUAGGCAUAUCUUUUGGGGGAGCCACAAUUCAACCCGCUACCCCUCACCUUCAAAUAAGGAUGAUAACGGUGCUUGUUUAUGGAGGUUAAAUGAGGCUAAAUGUGUCUAAAGUGCUUUGGCCAGUCCCCGCACUCAGCAAAGACUUGGUGUUUUCUCCCAUCAUAACCCCGAUUGCCUGCCUCACUGAGCCAUGAUGUUAGGACUGUCACCACGCUUAUCGUAGCUGACUUUUAUUCAGAGACAUCCCAAACUUAACGUCUAAAAUUCAUUAAUUUGACUCUCUCUCAAUCUCCAACAUCUCAGUAAAUACUACCCCAUUUGUUCCAGUGUGAGGCCAAUAUCCUUCAAAUAAUCUUAUUUCCUCUUUUGCUCCCGUACUUCGUUCCAUCUAUAAAUUCUGGCCGUUCUGCCUUCAAAAUAUAUAUCCCUGAGCUGACCCCUGCCUUCCAGGACCACCAUGUUGCAUCCCACCAGGGGGGCGCCCUUCAGAUUGGGGGGUGAAAGUGGCGCCCCCUGGAGUUGUGCAGUAUGUAGCUUGAGUGACCAAAUUCAGGGGCUCUGCUUCUUGCCAGUUCUACUGCUGUCCCCCAAUUCAAGCCACCGCCACUCACAUGGAUCAUUGCAGUAGCCAAUAACUGUCCCCUCAGCUUCAUGUCUUCCCCUUUCCACACCCCUCUCACCAGGACAGUCUGCUGUCCUCAGAGCUGGUUUUUAAAAACCUAGAUCAGAUUCUGUCACUCCCCUGCAGAUCCUCCCCUGGUUCCCCCAUCUCACUGCAAGCAAAAGGCAAUGUCCUUGUGAUACCCCACAUGGCCCCUCGUGGUCACCUUCCCUGUCCCUCUCUGCUGCAGCCACCUGGCCUUUUUGCUCGACCUUGAGCACAACAACACGCGUGCACUUGCACUUGCUGAUUUCUCAACCUAGAACACUGUUUCCCCAGCUCUCUUUGUGGUUUUCUCCCUCGCUUCGUGCAGGCUCUGCUGAAAAGUCCGAGACCUUCGCUGACACCGUAGGGUCAUGUUGUUGCUUUUGGGUGCUGUCAGGUUGCUUCCGAUUCCUAGUGCCCCCGUGUGACAGUAGAACUGCCCCGUAGGGUUUUCUAUGCUGUGAUCUUUACAGGAGCAGAUCACCAGACCUUUCUCCCAUGGAGCCACUGGGUGGGUUUGAACCGCCAGCUUUCGGUUAGCAGCCGAGCACUUAACCGUUGUGCCACCAGGGCUCCUGUAGGGUCAUAGCUAAAAUAAAAAAACCAGUUUCCAUGGAAUCGAUUCAGAUUCACGGUGACCCCAUGUAUGUCAGAGUAGAACUGUGCUCCACAGGGUUUUCAAUGGCUGAUUUUUCAGAAGCAAAUUGCCAGGACCUUCUUCCAAGGUACCUCUUGGUAGACUCAAACCUCCAACCUUUCAGUUAGCAGCAGAGUGCAUUAACUAUUUGCAUCACUCAGGGAUUCCAUAGGUAAGAUAAAAACCAAAAAACCAAACGCAUUGCCAUCAAGUCAAUUCUGACUCAUAGCGACCCUAUAGGACAGAGUAGAGCUGCUUUCCAAAGAGUGGCUGGCGGAUUCAAACUGCCAACCUUUUGGUUAGAGCCCAAUGCUUAACCACUGUGGCACCAGGGCUGCUUACCUUGACACAUAGCAAUCGCCUUACUGUAGUUUUUUCUUCAAAACACUAUUGCUAUGUAUUUUGUGUUUAUUGGUGUUAUUUAAUUGUCUGCUUUCCCCUGUGAGACUCAGGCUCCAUGAAGGGAAAGGCUUUGUUUUAAUCACUGCCAGACCCUCAGCACCUGGCACAUAUUAGGACGUAAUAACUAGUACCUGGGUGACAGAACGUACUAAACUCUUACUAUGGGCAGGGUCUGGCUUUGUAGGCAUUAUCUCAUCCAAUAACCUUACAAGGUCAGUACUUUUAUAUCCUCAUUUGUCAGAGGCUUAGGGACUCAGAGAGAAUAAAUGUCCCCCAAUUACCCAGCUACUGAGUGGAGGCAGCAAGAUCUGAACCAACUAGUCUUAAUCCAGAACCCCACUUUCUUUUUUUCAUAUGAAAAUAUACAUAUCAAUACAUGUAAAACACACGCCCAUUUAACAAUUUCUGCACAUACUCUUCAGUGACAUUGGUUCCAUUCUUCACAUUGUGUCAACAUCCUCGUUAUUUCUGCUCUAGUUAUUUCACGUCCAUUAAUUUAGGCUCACUGCCCCCUAAACUUCUCAUCUGUGAUUUAGAGUUACUAUGGUCAUUUUCAUCUCCUAUAAUUUUUUAAGAGACCGCAAUACUUAAGGGUAACAUUUUUCACUUUUUGAGCUAAACUGUUUUUUCCUUUAAAGAUGCCUUCAGGGGAUAGUUUUGGUUUAAGGUUUGAAGAGUACCCCAGGGCAAUAGUCUUGGGGAUUCCUCCAGCCUCAGAGGAUCCAGUCAGUCUGGAUUCUUUUGGAAUUUGAAAUUCUGUUCCACAUUUUUUCCCAUUCUGUCAGGAUCUAUCUAUUGUGUCCCUGAUCGAAACUCAAUAACGUAGCGGGCACCAUCCAAUUCUUCUAGGCUCAUGUUAGAAGCAGUAGUUCAUGGAAGCCAGUAGUCCUGUGGUUCAGUUGCUUCUCUGAUUCUUGGGUUUCCUUCUAGCUCAGGCGAAUAGAGACCAGUUGUUGUAUUUUGGAUGGCCACUCACAAGCUUUUAAGACCCCAGACACUACUCACCGAACUGGGAGGUAGAGCAGAACCUUUAAAAAUGGUACUAUGAUGGAGGAACCUGGAAGGCAUUAUGCUGAGUGAAAUUAGUCAAGGCAAAAGGACAAAUAUUGUAUAAGACCACUAUUAUAAGAUCUUGAGAAACAGUAUAAACUGAGAAGAACACAUACUUUGGUGGUUACGAGGCGGGGAAGGAGGGAGGGUGGGAGAAGGUUAUUUACUGAUUAGUUAGUAGAUAAGAACUACUUUAGGUGAAGGGAAGGACAAUACUCAAUACACGAAGGUCAGCUCAACUGGACUGGACCAAAAGCAAAGAAGUUUCCGGGAUAAAAUGAAUGCUUCGAAGGUCAGCGGAGCAAGGGCGGGGGUUUGGGGACUAUGGCUUAAGGGGACUUCUUAGUCAAUUGGCAAAAUAAUUCUAUUAUGAAAACAUUCUGCAUCCCACUUUGAAGUGUGGCGUCUGGGGUCUUAAAUGCUAACAAGCGGCCAUCUAAGAUGCAUCAAUUGGUCUCAACCCACCUGGAUCAAAGGAGAAUGAAGAACACCAAGGUCACACGAUAACUAUGAGCCCAAGAGACAGAAAGGGCCACAUGAACUAGAGACUUAUAUCAUCCUGAGACCAGAAGAACUAGAUGGUGCCCUGCCACAACCGAUGACUGCCCUGACAGGGAGCACAACAGAACCCCUGAGGGAGCAGGAGAACAGUGGGAUGCACACCCCAAAUUCUCAUAAAAAGACCAGACUUAAUGGUCUGACUGAGACUAGAAGAAUCCCAGUGGUCAUGGUCCCCAAACCUUCUGUUGGCCCAGCACAGGAACCAUUCCCGAAAACAACUCAUCAGACAUGGAAGAGACUGGACAAUGGGUUGGAGAGAGAUGCUGAUGAAGAGUGAGCUACUUGUAUCAGGUGGACACUUGAGACUGUAUUGGCAUCUCCUGUCUGGAGGGGAGAUGGGAGGGUAGAGAGGGUUAGAAACUGGCAAAACUGUCACGAAAGGAGAGACUGAAAGGAGGGAGCAGGCUGACUCAUUAAGGGGAGAGUAAGUGGGAGUAUGGAGUAAGGUGUAUAUAAGCUUAUAUGUGACAGACUGACUUGAUUUGUAAACUUUCACUUAAAGCACAAUAAAAAUUACCAAAAAAAAAAAAAAAAAAGGGUACUAUGCCAGUUGACUGGAUUGUAGAAUCCACUUUCUCAAUCACCAUCUGUGAUGAGGCUGGAAUGAAAGACAGUAGGUGAAAGACCUUUGGAAAUGGAAAUGUGCUGGACGGAAGUACCCAAACAGCAGUAAGCCUGCACAUGACAUCCAAGCAAAUCACUCGGAGUUGAUUUGGGUCUCUUUCCUGUUGUUUUUAAGUUCUGAGAACUUUUUGCUGCCUCCCUGGUUGGUGCAACUCGAGGUGGUAAGAAAGGUGUCUGUGAAGCUCUGUGGCACUAUUCAGUUGCUGUCAGACUUUGGUGGCCCAGAAUGCUCCAGAAUGGGGCACGUAGGCUGUAUGAAUAUGUCCUUUAUUCUAAAAGCAGGUCAGUCCAUUUCUCUGCUUUUAGUAAACACGGCGUGUUGAUUAGAAUCAAAUAUUUCAGUGUGCAAAGAGCUGAGCAAAGAGCCUUAGACUGAGUCAAAAGACUCGGUACCUACUCUACCACUAAAAUACUCUGUGACCUUAAAUAAUAGUAUAACUCUUAUUUACUGAAUCUUACCAUGUGCCAGGAGCCCUAGUGACACCACGCAGUGGUUAAGCACUCAACUGCUGACUGAAAGGUUGUCCGUUCAAACCGACCAGCCACUGCGCAGAAGAAAGACGUAGUGGUCUGGUGCCGUAAGGAUUAAACUAAAAAACCAAACCCAUUGCCAUCGAGUGGAUUCUGACUCAUAGCAACCCUAUAGGACAGAGUAGAACUGCCUAUAGGGUUUCCAAGGAGCAGUUGGUGGAUUAGAACUGCUGACCUUUUGGUUAGCAGCUGAGCUCCUAACCACUGCACCACCAGAGCUCCCCAUAAAGAUUCCAGCUUAAGAAAUCUUAAGGGGGAGUUCUACUUUGUCCUAUAGGUUCGCUGAGUUGCAAUUGACUUAAUGGCAACAGGUUACCACCUGCAGGCAUACUGCAAGUACUUUAUGCCCUUUAACUCAUGUAGUUCCCCAAACCACUCUGGGGAGUAAGUACUAUUAUUAACCCCAUUUAAUACUAUCACAGAGGCACAGAGACAUUAAGUGACUUGGUCUAAGUCACACAGCCAAUAAUCAUCAGAGCCGGCAUGUGAACUCAAGCAGUCUGUCUCCUGAGGACAAGUUUUAGCCCAUUCUCCAUUCUGACUACCUAGCUUUUAGCCUGUAAAGUAUGGGGAAGGCACUCGAUUGUAUUUUCUAUGAAAAAUCUAUGCUCUGGAGGCUGAGAAUCAGACAGUCUUUCUGAGACAUUGGUGUCAGUGCAAAAGAUACAGGAGACCUAGGUGGCUUUUACAAGGAUGUUACAAGGAAAGGCCUAAGGUAGAAGGUUUUUUUGUCUUUUUUUUUUUUUUUCUGAGUAAUAAGAUUUUUUUUUUUUUUAGUUUCAUAUUUGGUGAAAAUAUGCACAUCAAAGCACACUCCCAUUUAACAAUUUCUGCACAUACUCUUCAGUGAUAUUGGUUCCGUUCUUCACAUUGUGUCAACAUUCUCCUUAUUUUUGCUCUAGUUGUUUCACCCCCGUUAAUUUAGGCUCACUGCCCCCUAAACUUCUCAUCUAUGCUUUAGAGUUAACCAUUGUCCACUUGGUCUCGUACAGAUAAUUUUUUGAAAGAGCACAAUACUUAAGGGUGACGUUCUUUACUUUUGGAGCUAAACUGUUUUUUCCCUCUAAAGGUGACUUCAGGGAAUAGUUUUGGUUUAAGGUUUGAAGAGUAUAAGAUACGGGGUUCUUUUCUUUUUUUAUCAAGUUCUUGCUUGCGUCUUGCUGCCUUGUCAUUUGCUAUUUUUCUUGCCUCAAUGGUUUGCAGAAAUAAGAGCCGGCUGGUGCAUACUUUCCUCCAGACAGCAUGUGCACGUGACAAAAAGAAAAUGAAACCCUUACAGUCGCCUGGUGUUUAACUUCAGAGCAGCUCACACCUCUUUUCUCAUUUAAUUCACACAAAGACCCUGUGUGGACAGGCAAAGGUAUCCCCAUUUUAUAGAUGAGGAAACUGAGGCAGAGAGAAGUUAAGAAAGCUUAUCUUAAGGUCCCUUCUCUUGCCUCCUAGGAGUAUCUCCUGGGUCCUUUCCCGGGGGUUUUCUCACUUUACAGUCAUAACCUUAGCAAACAUAGCCUCUGAUUGCACCCAUCCACCACCCACACUGGUUACCACACUAGAUGAAUGAUAAACACUCGUCAUAAUGAUAGCUGCCAUGUACUGCGUGCCUUCUCUGUGCUAGGAACUGUGCUAGGGGCUUUUCCAGCCUGAUUUCCUACUAAUCCCCACAAUAUUCCUUGGAGGUAUAUAGCGUUAUGAUGCUCAUUUUACAGAUGGGGUGCCUGAGGCCACACAGGCCAAAUCCAUACUUGCACAGAGUCACACAGCAUUCACGUGGGUUAAUGUGGAUUGUCUCAUGUCCGUCCUGGGCUCCUGGUCAUACAGGACAAUGUCCCAACUCCUCAGCGUGGUGGGCAGGCCCCCGCCCCUCCACCCCACAUACUGCUUCCACCCCCUUCACUCUCAGCUAUGCUCAACCACUCGCUGCUCCCUGCUCAGGCCCCUCUAUUCCCCUCCUCAUUCCCCUCCUCCAAGGCACACCCCCAACCCCUCUUCUGACUGGGAACUUCCCACCCAUCUUUCAAGGCCCAGACCAAACACCACCUUCUCCCUGCAGCCUGCUCUGACCCACCGUCUCCCACGUAUCUCCAUGCCCGCUGUCUCUCUGUCCAGGGCACUCUGAACCACUCUUGUUUGUCACCCAGAUCACAUUUUAUCACCAGCAGGGCACAUCAUGACACAGUACGAGGAACAUAAGACAGCAGGGAGCCGUGUGGUGUGGAAGGACCAGGACAUGUGAGCCCCACCUAACCGUAUUCCAGUGGUUUUUUAAAACAGUGGGCCAGUCAAACAAAACAACUUUAUGGUACUUAUUCAACCCACGGGCCACCAGUUUGAAACCCCUGGAUGCUCCUCGAAAGAACCUUGUGCUUCUUUACAUUGUCAGUGCUUAGAUGGAAGAGGGGGGCAGAACUUACCUUUUCAGACUUGGCAGUUUGGCUUCUGGAAAACAUGGCAUUCCAGACCAUUUGAUCCUCAAAUAUUUCCUGUGUCUGUACUAUGGGAAUUCCAAAAACACUUGAAGGGAAACAGCAGAGUUCGAUGGUUUAAAAGCAUGGACUUUCACAGCACACAAAUUCAACCUUGAGCUCCAACGCUGCCACUUACUUGCCAAGUGACCUUAGAUAAGCUAUUGAGUUCUCUGAGCCUCAGGUUCCUCAUCUAUAAAUUGGGGGUGAUGAUACCAGCGCCGCAGGGUCUGUGUGAGGAUUAAUGAGAUCAUGCACAACCAUGAAGCCUGCCAUAAGGCACACACGCAUCAUCACUUCAUUCAGCAGGCACUGAUUGAGCACAUAGUGUAUGCUGGGUGCUCUUUGGGGUACUGGUGGUGAACAGAGUGGACCCCUUGAUCUCAUUCUUGGGGGAGACAAGUAAAUAAUUUGAGAACGGGCCAUGUGCUAGAAGAAAAAGUAAACAAAACCACCAGUUGCAGCAAGUUGAUUCUGACUCAUAGUGACUCCAUGUGUGCAGAGUAGAACUGCUUUAUAGGGUUUUCAAGGCUGUGAUCUUUCGGAUACAGAUCACGGUCGCUGGAUGCAGGAUGCAGAUCCUGGUCGUCCUCUUUUCAAAGGCGCCUCUGGUUGGGUUCAAACAGCCAGCCUUUAAGUUAGUAGUUGAGUGCUUAACUGGUUGCAAUACCCAGGGACCUAAGGAAAAAAACAGGUAAUGAAAUAGAGGAUGGCAGGGGAGGAAGUUAGGUUGAGAGGUGGGUAAAGGCCCCUCUGGGAAGAUGCCUUUGACAAGAAGUGGACAGCCAGAUGAAAACUUGGGGGCAGAGUAUUCCAGGCAGGAGGAACAGCCAGUGCAAAGAACCAGAGGCAGGCACACACAAAGCCCCUAAAUCAAGACUGAACCAAACCCGUUGCCGUUGAGUUGAUUCCGACUCAUAGUGACCCUGUAGGACAGAGUAGAACUGCCCUAUAGGAUUUCCAAGGAGCAGCUGGAUUCGAACUGCUGACCUUUUGGUUAGCAGCCAAACUCUUAACCACUGCACCACCAGGGCUCCCAAGGCCCUUGUUGGCUAAGAAUAUUCAUUAUGGUUGUUGUGACACGUGGCCUUGUACUAUGAGUCUGCCGCUCUGGCAGGGGGGACAGAACCGCUGCUCUCCAGGUAUAAUGCUCAGCUGAACUGGAAUGCCAACUAUAAUUGGAGCAGGAGUUCAACCGAGAAAUCAGUGAGGCUAGAGUGGUCUUACCACCUGCUGGAGCAGGUAGGAGUCGUGGAGAGAGGAGGAGGAGGACAUGUGUGGAGGGACUGAGCAUUCCGGGAGAGCCUGGUAUCUAAGAGACCCUCAAUGACUGCCCCGGCCAGAGCCGGUUUCGGGGCCAGUGGGGAAGGGGAGGCCGAGGCGCCAUAUGGAUGAGCUCAGCACUGGCUAGCAAGCACAACAGCAGCCUCACUGUCACACCGAGGGGGGGCACUGGUUGUCGGUCAGGGUAUGUGCUCCCCACUCACGGUGGAAGGCCCUGGGAGGAAAUGCAACUGCCUGACUCACAGUUACGGCCGCGGGAAACCUGGCACGGUUUCCCAGACACAUCCUGAGCAUUAAGGUGAGGGGCUGUCGGAGGGCAGGUGCCCGCCGGGGCGAGAGAGGAGAGUGGCUGGAGGGGUGUGCCUAGGUUAGGGUCCCCGGGCUGUGCCUCUCAGGGUCUCCGGGCUGUACCUUUCAGGGUCCAAGGCCCGUACCUUUCAGGGUCCAAGGCCCAGCCUCCUGGGACCCCCAGCGAGUGGGAGCUGAGGCCUGGUUGAUGGGCCUCUGCCUCCCCUCCUUUAUCGACGCGCCUAGCACUUACUGGAUGUCCAGCCAAGAUCCGCAUGCUCCUUGAUGUGUGGGUAUGCAGGAAAGCAGCUGAGUCAGGAGAUGGGACAUCUGACUUCCGGUCCCAGAAACUUGGAUUCAAAUCCAAGGACUUCCAUUAACACAGCUUCUCUGGCCUUUGGUAUCCUCAUCUAUAAAGUGAUGGAGUAAAUUGGGAGCUCUCCAAGGUUCCUUCUAGCUGGACCACUUCCUGUAUUUCCCUCUCUGUAGAUAGGAGAAGGAGCCCUGGUGGCACAGUGGUUAAGUGCUCGGCUGCUAACCGAAAGGUCGGCAGUUCAAACCCACCAGCUGGUCCAUGGGAGAGAAGUCCUGAUGAUCUGCUCCAGUAAAGAUUUCAGCCUAGGAAACCUAAUGGGGCAGUUCUACUCUUUAUAGGGUCACUAUGAGUUGGAAUCAACUGGACAGCAGCAGUUUGGUUUGUUUGUUUAUAUAUAGGAAAAACAGGCCCCAGGCAGGUCUACCACUCCUGCUCCUAGGUCCUGCCUGCCUACUCCCAUCUUCUUCUAGUCCCCAGAUGCCUCCUUUUCUCCUUCCACCUGCCAGACAUUGAGGCUCGGGCACCCCAAGGAUGACCUUCACCCCUGAGAGUAGGCUGUCCCAAAUCAACUAAGAGAGGAGCUCCCAGGGGCAUCAACCACUUGAGUGUACUCACGUGUUUUCAGCAGGCAAGACCUCCUCUAGCUGCCACUUGCCUGACCCUAUACGUCCUUCAAUCCAGCUUAAAUGAAACCUCCACCAGGAAGCCCUUACAGAUCACCCGAGCCAGAGUCAUCCCCAUUACCCGUCUAUGACACUUUACAAUCCUGUCUUGGGCGUUUUCACUUACAUUUGGUAUAAUUAUUUGUGUAUAUAUAUUUGAGUAUAUGCCAUAGCUCCUCUCCCGAUUUCUAACUCAGGGAAAGCCAUAACCAAAUUGCCCCCACUUUUCUCAUGCCCACCAUCUGCCUCCCUUGCAACAUCUGGUACAAUGUUUGUAGUCUAAAUAUUGAGUAGAUAUUUGUGAAGUAGAUGCAGCUUUUUUUCUUCUGUGCAAAAGAAUUCUUUCAUUUCAGAAUGACUAUAGCCAGGAGUGUAAGAGCACCUGCUGUAGACUGAGCUGAAUCUCAGCUUCACUAUCUGCAUACUGUGGGACCAUGGACAAGUUACUUAACGCAUUGAUGCCUCAGUUUCCUUUUCUGUACAAUGAGGAUAAUCAUACGUAGGUAGGUGGAUGGACAGACAGAUAGAUGUCAAGUUGACUCCAACUCAAGGUGACUUUAUGUACAAUAGAAUGAAACAUUGCCGGAUCCUGCAUCAUCCUGACGAUCACCAGUGUGUUCCGGUCUGUCAUCGUAGCUAUUGCAGCAAUCCUUCUCACCUAGGGUCUCCCUCACCCUCACCAGCCCUCUACUUCACUAAACAUGAUGUCCUUCUCUAGCAAUUGAUCACUCCUGAUGACGUGUCCAAAGCAAGCAACUUGGAUAACGUUCUCUUGUGAUCCAUAGGAUUUUCAUUAGCUAAUUUUCAGAAGUAGAUCACCCGGCCUUUCUAACUAGUCUAUCUUAGUCUGGAAGCUCUGCUGAAACCUGUGCUCCAUGGGUGACCCUACUGGUAUUUGAAAUACAAGUGGCGUAGCUUCCAGUAUCACAGCAACAUGAAAGCUACCACAGUACUGCAGACUGACAGACGGGUGGUUGAGGAUAAUCACAGUGCCCACCUAACAGAGUGACUGUGAGGAGUAGAUGAGUCAGUGCGUGUAAGGUGCUUGAUAGAGUGCCUGGCAUAAACUUGACUCAGUAAGUGAGGUUGUUAUUAAAUUUCAGUGAUCCCAUAUGCAGAUUCUCAUUUGAUUUUUCAAAAAUAUAUUACACCACCUUGCAUGAUUCCAGAUUGCCUUUACCUCGUUGCCAAAUCCAUUCCCAUCUUUGCUUUCCCUGGCUCUGCAUUGCAUAUACCCUGCCGAGUGCAGAUCCCUCCCCAGCUACACUUUUGCUCAGAGGGGGCAGGAGAAGGGAGAGAUGGAGCCCCAGUUGCUGGCUUAACUGCUUGCCAGCUUGGGGCUAGCAGCCACAUUGUGUGCUCUUGCUCAAUUCAUGUGACUCGACAAAUUUGGAAUGUGUUAGGGAGAGAGUUUUUCCAGCUAUGAGUCAGUACAUUUAUGCUCUCACACACAGAAAAAAAAAAUUAAAAAAAAAAAAAGAGUUUAGCAAGAAUCAUUUAUUAGAGCAAAGUGGAAACCUCUAGAAAUUUUGUUUUGACCUGAAGGCAAGCAAUACUUAAGACAUUUAAUCAUGUGCUUGAAACAGGUUGCAGUUGUGAGAUAACUCAGCUAGUUGCAUUCUCCUUCUGUAUUCUCGGUCGCUGUACGUAGGAGGAUCCAAUGCACAGGUGUUUCCUUAGCCCCUCCUGCACACCCAGAAUUUUGCAAAGCACGCUGGGGAGAUAAGAGAUGUGUAAAGGAAGGGAGUCAGACCCAGCAUUUAUUAAGCCCCCGGGUGGAGCAGUGGUUAAGACUGUGGCUGCUAACCAAGAGGUCUGCAGUUCGACUCCACCAGCCACUCCUUGGAAACCCUACGGGGCAGCUCUGCUCUGUCCUGUAGGGUCACUAUGAGUAGGAAUCAACUCGACGGCAGUGGCUUUGGUUUUGGUUUAUGUGCCCGGUAGUCAUGAGGGGGAAAUGUCCCAAGUUUAGGAGGCAGUACGGGGAAAAUGGAACUACUCAGACAGGUGGGGGUUCAAACCCCAGCACCUUACUGUCAUAAUAUUAUCUAAUCCCGUUUUACAGAUGAUAGAGCUAAGGCUCAGAGAAGAUGAAACAGUCUGUCUGUGAUCACAAAGCUCUUAUAUGGCAGAAAUCGAAUUCGAAACUGGAUCUUUCAGUCUCCAACCAACAUGUUGUCUCCCUGUGCCAAAGACCUGUUGUUGUUAGCUGCCAUCCAGCCGGCUCCAACUCCUGGCGACCUUAUGUGUAACAGAAGGAAACGUUGCCCGGUUCCGCACCGUCUUCAUGAUUGUCUUGAUGCAGUGACUGCUCUCGGAGCCAGAUAGUAAAAAGAUUCCCAGGAUGUAAGCAAUACGGGACUGAUACGAUGCUGUCUGACAUGCUUAGUGAUUGGAGCAGUUACAAUUUCCUGUGCUGAAACCAUUCUGAAAACUGAAAGCACUAGACUUCAGCAUUCAAGGGAAGCCAAAGCCAUUUGCGGGUUAUUGUAAAAAGGAAGAAACAUACAGGCUGGUAGAUUUUCUGUCCCUAUUUGCAAGGCUGCGAUAAAGCAUGAUUCCGCUACUGCCUCUGGCAUGUUUGGACACCACCCUCUCGGGCCUGCUCAUUCUAAAGUCUGUUUGCUUACAAGAACAACACAUCCUCCACGUGUUUUGUGUUGGCUGCCAUAAGACGUAAACGUGGAAAAGGGACAUCCCUCAGAACUGCUGUGCUGUUGAAGGACGCUCUGUCUUGGAAGGAAGCAGAGAACUUCCCUCUCCUGCCCGCUGUGGGGAGCCCUUACCAGUGACUCCCAGGGGAACUACUUAGCCCAUGUGUGCCUGGAGGGUGCAGGAGCCCGGCUGCUUCACAUGCGCCUCCCAGAGGGUGGGUGGGAACUGUUCAGAGUGCCAAAGUCCUACUACUGCGUUUCCAAUGGGUCCCUGUAAAUAGUUUGCUCCUCUGUCCUGGCCCCUGCCUCUUGCUAUACUGGAACCGAUUUGUACAAUGGGAAUUUUGUUACCUUUUUAACUGAGGGCAACUUCCUUUUCCAGCACUACCAUUGUAAGGUUUUCUUCCAGGAGGGAGGGCUGAUCACAUGUGCUUUUCUCUUUUCUCCUUUUGUUUUUCUUAUUUUUUUUUUUUUUUUUGGAGGUUAGCAUUAGUGCCAUUAUAUCUUCUGGAUUUUAGGUAGGAGAAUUCAUUUUUAAAGGAGGUAGCUUGAAAUUUGGAGAUUUCUCAGUGGGAGGGCUGGGAUUCGGGCCUCGGUUUCCACCUGGAGAGCGGGCUGACGGAUGGCUGACCUUCCAUAUCAAAUCCGUUUUCAGUUCUCCCUCCAGCCGCCUUUGGGGGCCCUCGCUAGGUUUUCUGAACUGCCAAGAGGUAGGUCUGAUUUCUCAACUACUUGGCCUCUUAGGAGGAGGCCCUGGGUGGUGCAAACGGUUAAGCACUCAACUAAUAACCUCAAGGUUGGCGGCUCUAACCCACCCAGAUGUGCCUCGGAAGACAGGCCUGGUGAUCUGCUUCCAGGAAGUCACAGCCUUGAAAACCUUAUGGAGCACAGUUCUACUCUGCACACAUGGGGUCACCAUGAGUCAACAGCAACUGGUUUGGAUUUUUUUGGCCUCUUAGGCCUUGGGCCCAGCCAGCAUUGAGAGAACUGAGUAGCAGCAAACGGCUGUCCUCUUUUAGCACUUUCUUAAAUACCAGCAGAAAGGGCUUCUAUGUUAGUGUUAUUAUUACUACUUUUAUGAAAUUAAAACAAAAAAAGAUCUUCAUAUCUAGAUGGUACAACAAUGAACAGCAUUGGCUUUUAUUUCUAUUCUUAACUGCCUUUUCUUGGCGUGGUAGUUGACAAGAUUUCAGCUUGAAGCCUCACCAUGAAUUGAUUUUUUUGUUUGUGUGUUUGUUUUUGGGCCAAUUUAAGAUUCCUGAGUGCACUUUUUUUUUUCCAGUUAGUCCUAACUUUUAAAAAAGAAAAGCCAAGAGACAUAUCUGGUGUAAAUGUUGCAAUAUGAAUUGUGUUUGCAGUCCCUUCCUGCCCCCCACCCUGUUUGAGUACACUGCACAAAAUAAAAUCUAGGGAGUUUGAAUAAAACCAGUUUUUCUAACUUGUUACUCAUUUGUUGUAACUCAAUAAAGCAAAGACUAAACAUUUUUAUAACUUUUCCCUCUGCUCCUCCGUCUUCAUUGCUGUCUGCUCCCAGGGCACAGCCCUGGGGUUCCAAUUUAGCCACCUCCCAAUCCAUUUGUUACUGCCACGUGUCUCGUUUUCCUUCUUGGUAACGUCAGGUCUUGCAAGCAGGACUUUAAAACCAAUGAGUGCCACAAUUUUUUUUUUUAAUUCCACAGAUAAAAACAAUGAAAAAAAAGAUCAGAAGCAAGGUAUGAGUACCUCUCUCUCUGACACAGAAGUAGGUCAUAGGCGCCCCCUUCUCCAGGGUCUUCACAGAUAGAUUCACAGACUGCCGCAGAGAAGAGCAUUGUCACGGUGGGAAUUAGAAGACCUGCAGUUGAGUCACUUCCCCUCCCUGGCCUCCCGGUGACUAGAACACUGCAAUUUCUCCAAAAAGGCCGACAUUCAAACGUCCCCAUCCAGGCGAGCUUGAAGACUCCCUUGCUGAUGAGCAACAUACAUCUAAACCAACGGUUCUAGGGUCACCUGAGGGCUGGUUAAGGUUUGGAGUUGGAGAGCUGGAGCAAAGCCUGGGCGUGUGCAUUGCUCACAAGUUCCUAGGUAAAGCUCUGAGAAGCAACAGUUUGUGCUCGACUACUAACCAAAAGGUUGGAAGUUUGAACCUACCCAGCAGAAGGCCUGGUGAUUUGCUUCUGUAAAAAUUAAAGCCAAAAAAACCCUGUGGAGCCCAGUUCUGCUCUAUAACACAUGGGGUUGCCAUGAGUCAGAAUCAACUCAAUGGCAACAGAUUUGGUUUUUUGUUUUUUAUAAACUUUUUGCCAGUUUACUGAACUCAACACGUAUUUAUUCUUCAGGUGAGAGAAGAGACUCUUCCUCUCAUCCCUCACUUCCCAAAAUACAGGAAACACUUCGAAAUAUCAGGGAUUCAGGCCAGGCUGGCUUUCUCUAGAAGAUUCCGAGUCUGCCUCUCAGAAGCCCUCACUCCCUCUCUGGGUUCCCAUGGCACCAUGUCACCACACAGCUCAAGAAUGUAUUUGGUCAGCUUUGUCAGUUUCUUCAAACUGAGGCCAGGGGCCAUCAAUCCUCUACCGUGCAGUCACCUCUAAGAUUGCCCUAAUUCUCUACUAUUAAGCAAAGUUGGAUACAGUUACCUUUUCAAAAAUAAAAAUAAUGGCUAUCAUUUUUAAUUGUGGGCUUACUACACGAGUCAGGUUUUGAGCUGAGUGCCUUCCAUGUAUUUCCUUAUUUUGCCUUCACAACCCCGUGAGACAGGUGUCCCCAUUUUGCUGAUGUGGAAACUGAGGCUUAGUGAGGUUUUAUAAGGUGCCCAAGGUCAUGCAGACACUACAUGAUGGUAGUCUAUUGAUUUUGCCUAUUUUGCAUCCUUUCCCCACUUCUGGUAAAAGCAGCCACUUUAUUGUGGGAACUGCCCUCCACAUACCAUUAGGUUCUGAGGAUGCCACUGAGUGGUCCUGCUCCGCACGCAACCCAAGCCUGACCAAUCACAUUUCCCAGCCCCUGGCCCCAGUGAUGGGCCUGGGGAAUGGACUCAUGAGCCCACCUGGGCCUACUGAGUCCCCUCUUGAGAGGUGGAUGCUGGGAGAAACAAGCUCACUCUUUCUGCUUGGGUGGCUAAAUUAAGAUGUAGGCUUGGAGACUUACUGGACCAGCUAAGACUGGAGGAACCCCUAUGGCUAUAGCUCUGAGAUACUCAUUAAACUUUAACUGAAACCAUUCCCGGAAGUCCCCUUUCAGCUACAUCACAGAUUAGCUCAUGAAAUAAUUAAUAUCACCUGUAAAUACUGUGCUCCUUUAAAAAAAAAAAAAUCAGUGUGAGACCAACAAUCAACA